RNAcentral lists this long non-coding RNA (77634 nucleotides) under Citrus maxima (pomelo). Its description in RNAcentral is "long non-coding RNA (CMAX_LNC003643)". The record is from RNAcentral. Lineage: Eukaryota; Viridiplantae; Streptophyta; Magnoliopsida; Sapindales; Rutaceae.
UUUUACCGGAUUCAUUUUGCACUGCAAAGGAUGGAAAUCCGUCUUUUGCAAUCCAUCACGGUCAGCAUUCUUAGGAAGUGCUACAUCAAGUUUGAAUGACACAUUGGUUCAAGGCACAAGAUGGAACUGCGGUUUGCUUGAAGUCACCUUCUCAAAGUGCUCCCCUCCUCUUUAUGGGCUAUCAAGAAUGCCUUUGCUUCAAACAAUGUGCUAUAGCUACUAUGCUUUGCAGCCAUUCUAUUCCUUGCCGUUGUGGUGUUUAGCUUCUGUGCCUCAGCUGUGUCUCAUAAAUGGAAUUUCCUUGUACCCAAAGGUAACCAUUUCUAAAACGAGAUUGGGAGGCAAUUUGGAGAUGCUUUGUCUUAUUGAUAGGUCUAAAACAUUGUAACUAUUUAUUUCUCUUCUACUCAGGUUUCAAGUCCAUGGUUUGUGAUCUUUUCAUCUAUUUUCUUAUGUUCACUACUGAAACAUUUGGUGGACGUUCUCGUCACCGGUGGUUCAGUCCAGACGUGGUGUAAUGAACAGAGGAUUUGGAUGAUAAAAUCACUCACUUGCUACACCUAUGGAACUAUAGAUGCCAUCUUGAAAUGUUUUGGAAUGAAACAACCAUGUUUCUCGCCCACAAAUAAAGUUUCCGAUGAUGAACAAGCCAAGUUACAUCAACUGGGUAAAUUCAACUUUCAAAUCCCAACCAAGUUUCUUGCUCCUUUAGUUUCCUUAAGUCAUUUUGAGUAUGAUUGCUUUUACUGGAGGAAUUACUAGAAUGGUGAUUUCGGGGGGCGCAAACGAGUUGCUUGGACAAGUUAUCCUCUCAUUUUACAUCUUACUGGAGAGUUACCCAAUAAUUGAAGGGAUGGCAUGGAGGAAGGAUACAGGGCUAGUCCCAGCUUCUGUUGCGUUACUCUCUUUUGUUCUCUCCAUCAUUUUCUUGCUUUUGGGUUCCGUGGUUCUCAGGUUAAUUUGAAUUGUGCUAGAGGUUCAGAAUAAAAGUGAAAGGUCACAAUUAUGUGCUUCAUUUUUGAAAUAGUUAAUGCCCCCAUUAACUUCUUAUUGCUUUCAAAUGAUGCCGAUAAAGGCAACAGCCCUGUUUCACAGGAUGACCUAAUAAGAACAAAAUUGCAAAAUACUGGCACCUAUUGCUUAAUUGAAGGUCCUUGCGCUUGUUCAUGACACACUUAAGCUCAUUGACUGGGGGCACAAGAAAUUUCGAUACCUUGCAUAUCACCACUUAAUUUUGUUAAUUCAAAUUAAUUCUUGUUCCUUAUGCUGAAGUGCAAACGAUUUAUAUUAACCAUUCAAUCAUUUUUCAUCUCUAAUUAAACCAUUUCACCAUUUCAUUUGGAAACAAUUUCACUUUAUAUUAACACCAAGUGCCCUUUUUUAUUCAAUUGAAUAUGCCACUCACAAUGCCCUUUCGUAAACAACCCAAUGCCCGAAAGAUUACAUCUCUCCUUGCUUCCAACGGAUUGCAGCAAGAGACCGAAGUUUUAGCCUCCUUACGAGCAUCAAACAAAAUGGGGUAAAGAGGCAAGCAACAAGCACAUCAUCUUAUCAACUUAAACAUAGUCAAGUCUUAAUUGCAUUACUAAAUCAUUAUCACAUGCCAUCACAUUACAUCUCUCCUUGCUUUCGAAAUCAGGUGGGUUUUUCGUAUCAAGCUGUUUCGGAAGAUUUCUUUAUAGGAUUCUGUAAGAGAGAUUGUAUCAUUUUUUAAGUUUGAAAUUUUGGAAGAAAACGGCUAUUGAAAUACUUCAUUUUAUUUUAUUUUAUUUUAAUAAUUAUGUUUAAACAUACCAAUUAAAAGAAAGUGUUAAGUGAUGCUAAUAUUAUCAUAUCGAAACAUCACGAUCUAUGCAAUUUAUUAAAUUUCAUCACUCAUACUCUUAAACUAAAUAUCAUCUCGGUCAAUAAAAUGAUGUCAAGUUAAACCUCUAUCUAUGUUAGGACAAUACAAUUUGUUAAUAUGGAAGAUCUAAAAGAGUGACGAUUGCUAUCAAUUAUGCCAUUACUGAAGUUAAAUCAUCAAAAGAAGUCUCGUUGUUCAAUUCCCUUUUCAUUAUUCUAAUCUAAGAAGCUCGAUCAAAAUUUAAUCCCUAUAUAUAAUAAAAAUAAAUCAAAAGUCUUAACAAAAUUUACAAUUGUAAGGUUCUCACGAUUAGGUUAGUCGUUUGUGUUACUCUUGUUCAGAACCUAAGGUCGUUUAAGCUUAUUUUAGGUAUAAGAUGUUUUAAGUCCCCUCCUUCCAGACUUGGGAAUCUUAGAAACAACAAAAUAUGAUAAUAUAAUUGAAAAUAAGGGAAUUGCUAAAAGAUUAGCCUCUUUUGAAUGGUUUGGUUCUCAAUACAAGAUGUGAAGAAUACCGUGGAUAAUUAUUUCAAAAUAGAGUGGAAGGGUCUGAAUAUAAUAAAAAAGUAACGCAAAGUUAUGCUUGCUACCAUAUUGGGUAGCAAAAGGAUGAUAACGAAAAUAUUUGGAUAGACACUAGAUAUAUAUGAUAUUUAUUCCUAUAUAAGAGACAAUUAAGUCUAGUAUGAAAGUUGGAACUGUAACUAUGGAACAUACAUGUGCCAUCAAAUUGAGGGCACAAUUUCUUACCACCAUUUUUAUCUUAGACAUUUGAAUAAAGAAAAAUUGUAUUUGAGUAUUAAGAAGACAUUGCAAAGAUAGAAAGGACAGCGUUAUAGCAUGAACAAUAACACUGUUUUUAUCUUCAUAGGCCAUGUUUGAAUGCUAGGAUUAAGUAAGAGAUUGAACUAAUUUUGAAAUUAAAUAUUUAUUUCAUAUUUGGCAAGCUGAGUUGGAUUGAACUAAGGAGGACUAAAUUUAAAUUUAGUCUUAAAAUCAUGGGAUUUGUAAUCUUAAUAUACUCAUGGAUUUAUUGGAAUAAAAUUAAGGGAAAAAAAGUUGUCCAUUUAUAAGAGUUUCAUUCAUAACAUUAUUUUUAUUUAUACCGAAUAUCAAUCAAUCAAUAAAAUAAUUAAUUAAUUUUUUAUUUAUGAUUUACUUAAAAUUUAUUUUUUAUUUAUUAUCUAUGAUCUAAUUAAAUUGGUACUUUUACUUCUACUAGAUUAAAUUUUCAUUACUUGCAUAUUUAAUAAUUUUUCUAUAAAAUUAACCACUUAAUAAUUUGUUGCAUUAUUGAUUGUAAUAAAUUUAAUAGUCACUAAUACAAUAUUAAAUUGAUGUUUUCACACUUUUAGUAGAUAAAUUAAAAAUUGUCUCAUGGUUUUGAUGAUGGCUUUCCUCAGUAGAUUAAUUUAUUAUUUAGUUUGCUUUUGAGUUUUAGUAUUUUUAAGUCUUUGUAGCUAAUUGACGUUCGCAAUAGAACUAGCAAUAAAUUAAACUAUUUAACAGAAAGAAGCAUAUCCUAUAAAAAAAAAAACAGAAAGAAGCAUAUAGUAUUCACAUCUUUAUCAAAUAUCAGAAUAAAUAAAUUAUUGUGGCGUAAAACUUCUGUACAAUUUCCAUCCAUCUUUUUCCUAAUCAAUAAUCACAAUGGACCAUGCAAAGAUUGAAAAGAAGCAACUUACUUCAAGAAUCUAGUACAAAAACUUGGGACAAAACAAAAUAAUUAUAAGAAUUCUAGAUAAGUUUAUAAUAUUGAGUUACAAUGUUUAUAACAAAAACACUUUAUUAUAUGGAAGUGGCAUAACUUAAAAGCACAUUUGUCAAACCAUCGAGAUUGCAAUAAUAAAAUACAUAAAGAUUAAAGUGGCAUUCAUACAAAGAUUCAUAAAAUUAAACAAUGACAGCCCUCUUUCAUGGAAUCUCGGGAGGAUGAAAACUGACUUUCGAAUUUCUUUGACUUUAGUUCGAAGUUCGGAUCCGGCGACUUCGGCAACGGCUCCGGCGGCGACGGCCAUGGCGGCGUCGGCCACAGCGGCGGCGAUGGCCACAGCGGCGGCGGCGGCGACGGCCACAGCGAAGGCGACGAGGGCAACGUCGGCGGCGACGACGGCAACGACAGCGGCGACGGCCGCGGCGGCCAUGCUAGCGACGGCUCUGGUGGCGGCGGCGGCGCAGUGGCAGCGGCAGCUGCGGCGACGGCAGCGAUGGCGGCGAUGGCGACGGCAGCGACAAUGGCCAUAAUGACGGCAACAACGGCAACAACGGCGGCGACAAUGACGGCGGCGACGGCAACAACGGCGGUGACAAUGACGGCGGCGGCAGCGACGACGGCUUCGGCAUACAUGGCCGCUGCCGAAGAUACAUAGCAGAAAAUCUUUAAAAGAUCAGUAUAACUCAUAUCAUGAAAUGAUCAUGUUCCAUUCAUGAAACCUCUAAGAAAUCAAGUUCAGAAUAAAAUAAAGGAUGUGUAAAACUUCAUGCAAUUUCCUCUGAUCUUUCUCAUAAUCAAAUAAUGUUGAUAAAUUUGUAUUUGUGAAUCGGAUAAUUCAGUGAUCCUAAAGAUUAAGAAAUUGUGUUAUUACCAACAGCAGUGUAUGAACAACUUGUUUUCUAAGUUAAAAAUAAAUUGUGUUCAUCGAAUUUAACCUUAUUUAUUUAUUAUAUUUUUCUACAAAUCUUUCUUGGCUUGAUUUUAAGGUUAAGGGCUAUGAAAUUUUGAUAGAAGGAUAAAUUAUCGUUUAGUCCCUAUAUCUUUUAAAAUGUUCAAGACUUUCCUAUUAGUAAUUAUGUUACAUCCUUGCCUUGUUUCUUUACUUUUAUAAUAAUACUCUUAUAAUAAUAUUAGGGACAUAAUGAAAAAAUAAAAUGUUAAUUUAAUAUUAAUAACAAAAAAAUUAUAUCCCUAAGAUUUGUUGCAAGGGUCUUUUGAAAAAGGAAAAAAAAAGUAAUGGUGAAGCAAUUGUAGGAACUAAACGGAUACUUAAUAAAAAUUAUUGAGAUUAAACGAACACUUAUCCUUGACAAAAUUAACUCUUCUUUGAUUCUUGGAAUUUUUAUUUGUCUCUUAUCUUUGAUAAAUGAUGAACACAAGGAAUAGAAAGUGUAUGCAAUACAUAUGAAAGAACAUGAAAAUUUUAGAAAAAUGAUGGUUUGAAAUUAAAUCCUCUGUUUUUUGUUUCAAAAUUUUAGAAGAAUGAUCUUGCAUAGUUUUUCGUCUUUCUUUUUUAUUUAACUAGGAAAUAGAACCGCACUUCGUGCGGCUUUAAAAAAAAAUUAGUAUUAUUUUUUAUUACUUUGUAAUUGAUGAAAUUGAUAAAAAAAUACGAAUUAUUUUUUUUAAAGAUGACGCAGUCUUAUAAAACUAAUGUUAUUUAUGAAAGUUAAUUAUUUUUUGUUAACAUUGAAAAUAUAUAUUAAUGUGUAUAGUUAAGUGUACACAACAUUUUCAUCAAUAAAAAUUAUGUUCACACUAAUCAACUCUCCAUUUUUCUUGAUAUUAACAGACUCUCACAUCUUAUAAAGUCUAACCUUUAUCAUCCAACUAUCUUUAUCAUUGUUUAACUCAUAAAGAAAAUAGUACUCCAUGAAGCAUACAAUACUAAAAAUUUAAAUAAGUCAAAAAAUAAAAACACAAGAACAUUUCUAAAGAGGAUGUUGGUUAAAUAAUAAAAAAAAUUCAAACAUAACAAAUCUUAAAUGCUUAAUAUUUAUAGAGCUUGAAGAAGCCAAAAGAUACUAAAUAAAAGGUUGCAUAAUUAAAUAUGGGAUUAUGACAUUAAAAUUAGGUCAUAGGGUAUUGGUGAGGGAAGAUGAAGGAAUAUUCCUUCCUAUAUUAAUUAGUUGAUGUAUUUUAAACCACUAAAGUUUAGUUGUUGGCUUAAUAAAAUAAAUGAAUGUUUCAAAACUUAUAAUUAAUUUAUUAUUAAUGGUUAUAUAUUGUUGAAUUUAAAUAGAAAGAGGAAGAGACAUGUAAUCUUUUGUAAUCUAUUAAUUAUUUUAUAUUUUUAAUAUUUUGUAAUGUAAUUAUUUUUUAAUUUCAACCAAUAUAUUAGAUAAUAGAAAAUAUAAAAAGAUGAGAAAUAAUAAUGCCACAAAUAUUAACUACUUAAUGUUUAUAGAGUUUGAAGAAGUCAAAAGGUACUAAACAAAAGGUUGCAUAAUUAAAUAUGAGAUUAUAACAUUAAAAUUAGACCCUAAUGGCAUUAUUGAGGGAAGAUGAAGGAACAUUCCUUCCUAUAUUAAUUAAUUGACAUAUUUAAUCCACUAAAAUUUAAUUGUUGGCAUAAUAAAAUAAAUAAAUAUUUCAAGAUUUAUAAUUAAUUAUUAUUAAUGGUUACAUAUUAUUGAAUUUAAAUAGAAAGAGGAAGAGACAUAUAAUCUUUUAUAAUCUAAUAAUUAUUUUUUAUUUUUAAUAUUUUGUAAUCUAAUUAUUUUUUUAAUAUCAACCAAUUUAUUAGAUAAUAGAGAAUACAAGAAGAUGAAAAAUAGUGAUGUCACAUCAUCUUCUCUAGUCCCAACUUUAUAUAUAUAUAUAUAUAUAUAUAGAGAGAGAGAGAGAGAGAGAGAGAGAGAGAGAGAGAGAGAGAGAGAGAGAGAGAGAGAGAGAGAGAUAGAUAGAUAGAUAGAUACAGAUUUUUAAUAUUUUGUAAUGUAAUUAUUUUUUAAUCUCAACCAAUAUAUUAGAUAAUAGAGAAUAAAAAAAGAUGAGAAAUAAUGAUGCCACAAAUCUUAAAUAUUUAAUGUUUAUGGAGUUUGAAGAAACCAAAAGGCACUAAACAAAAGAUUGAAUAAUUAAAUAUGAGAUUAUGACAUUAAAAUUAGGCUCUAAUGACAUUGUUGAGAGAUGAUGAAGGAACCUUCCUUCCUAUAUUAAUUAAUUGAUGUAUUUUAAGCCACUAAAAUUUAAUUGUUGGAAUAAUAAAAUAAAUGAAUGUUUCAAGACUUAUAAUUAAUUAUUAUUAAUGGUUACAUAUUAUUGAAUUUAAAUAGAAAGAGGAAAAGACGUGUAAUCAUUUAUAAUCUAAUAAUUAUUUUCUAUUUUAAUAUUUUGUAAUGUAAUUAUUUUUUAAUUUCAACCAAUUUAUUAAAUAAUAGACAAUAUGAAAUGAUGAGAAAUGGUGAUGCCACAUCACCUCUUGUAGUCCCAACUUUAUAUAUAUGUAUAGAUAGAUAGAUUAAUUCAUGUAUUUUAUGCCACUAAAGUUUAAUUGCUAACAUAAUAAAAUAAAUAAAUGUUUCAAAAGACUUAUAAUUAAUUAUUAUUAAUGAUUACAUAUUGUUGAAUUUAAAUAGAAAGAAAAAAAAGUGCAAAGAAUAUCCACCAAUAUUUUAGAUAUUUUAUAUAAUAGAAAAUAUAAAAAGAUGAGGAAUGAUAUAUAUUAAUAAAGUUACUAUUUAUUAAAUGAGUUAAAUACAAUCAAAUUAAUUAUGAGAAGAUGAAAAGGCAAAUCUAAAAAAAAAAAUCUCUAUUUAUUAGAUAAUAGAGAAUAUACAAAGAAGCAAAAUGGUGAUGCCACAUCACCUCCUCAAGUCCUAGCUUUAUAUAUAUAUAUAUAUAGAUAGAUAGAUAUAGAUAUAGAUAUAGAUAGAGAGAGAGAGAGAGAGAUAGAUAUAGAUUUUUAAUAUUUUGUAAUGUAAUUAUUUUUUAAUCUCAACCAAUAUAUUAGAUAAUAGAGAAUAUAAAAAGAUGAGAAAUAAUGAUGCCACAAAUCUUAAAUAUUUAAUGUUUAUGGAGUUUGAAGAAGUCAAAAUGUACUAAACAAAAGAUUGAAUAAUUAAAUAUGGAAUUAUGACAUUAAAAUUAGGCUCUAAUGACAUUGUUGAAGGAAGAUGAAGGAACCUUCCUUCAUAUAUUAAUAUUAAUUAAUUGAUGUAUUUUAAGCCACUAAAAUUUAAUUGUUGGCAUAAUAAAAUAAAUGAAUGUUUCAAGACUUAUAAUUAAUUAUUAUUAAUGGUUACAUAUUGUUGAAUUUAAAUAGAAAGAGGAAAAGACAUGUAAUCAUUUAUAAUCUAAUCAUUAUUUUCUAUUUUAAUAUUUUGUAAUGUAAGUAUUUUUUAAUUUCAACCAAUUUAUUAGAUAAUAGAGAAUAUGAGAUGAUGAGAAAUGGUGAUGCCACAUCACCUCCUCAAGUCCCAACUUUAUAUAUAUAUAUAGAUACUUGGGAGGAAUAUGGGUAAUGGUUUCAUAACUAGACAGUAUUUAAAUUAUUAUAAGAGAAUUAAAAGUCGUAUAUUAAAAAGAAAUCGGUGUCAAUUACAUUAAUGCUCACCCUUGGUCUCAUUUUUUCCCUUUUUUUUUUUCUUUUUUCCUAAAGGAAAAUUAUUGAAAUAUAAGUUUAAUUGUAAUAAAUUAGUGUGAUCCUAACAAUUGUAGUACCUUAUUGUUGUAUUGUUAUUUAUUUUUUUGACGUUUCACUCACCCUCAGCAUACCAAAUUAAAAAAAAAAACUAGAAAUUUUAAUGUAAUUUGUUUUGUCCCAUAUAUAUUGGAGUUUGUAUUUUCUAUUGUUUACUAAAAGAGAAUUUUAUUUUAUUUAAAAUAUGGGACUGGGGGGCUCAUAUCACUGUUCACUUGAGCAAGAGCAAUUUAUAUGUUUAUCCAAAAUCCAAUUCAGAGAGGAAGCAUCACCACUAGUCCACUACGGCACACUAGAAUAAGAUCACUGUGUAAAAGCAAAGUAUAUAUGAACUGAUAGUGAAAUUUACUUGUUAAUUCCUAUAUUAAACGAAUUAAAUCCCAUGUUUCAAUAAUAAACUUGUUAAUUUCAAAUCACAGAUACCGUACAACUAUUGAUAACAAAGAUGAAACCAAUGUGUAAGUAUGAACUGAACUACGAACUAGCUGUGAAACUUACUCGUUAAAGGCUGCCUGCCUGGCCUUGCUCACUUAAUCUCCGAUCUUCUUUGCGGUGCUAGCUAACUCCUUAAUAAUUUCCUUCCGGAAUGAAAACUUCGGUAGCCAAUGGCUCAUACUUAGAUACAGUGGUUAUUUGUCCAGUAGUUAAGACUCUAUUGCCUUGUGACUCAUACUUAUUUGUCCAGUAGUUAAGAGUCUAUCUCUUGGGUAGCUGUAAUCUAGCGGUUCUGAUUUAACUACUAUUCAUUCUUAAAGCCGCAGCCAUUAGAUUUCACUCAUUAUAAUCUAACGGUUCCCAUAAAGGGGGCAUGGUGCCCAAGGGCCUGGUAGCUGGACCCCUAUUUUUCAAUGAUAUAAAUACACAAAAAGCCAAAGGCCAAAUAUAAAUGAAGGAGGGUCAUAAAUCAAAUGAUGGGGAUGGAGUUACAAAUCAAAAGAAAAAAAAAAAAAAGGAAGCGGCUGGGCGAGAACAGGAAGCUGUCGUCGUUCGGUAACGAAGCAAAUGGCUCAAAAUGAUGGGGAUGAAGUUACAAAUCCAAACGAGGAAAAUGAGUAGAGGAGAUUAAAGUAAAGAAAAUGAGUGGCUGGGGAGGAUAAUGUAUAAGGAAAAUGAUAAAAGGAAGAAAUUUGAGCUGUUUUUUUCAAAAUUUUAUUAUUUAUUAUGGUCCAUGCAAAACUAAAAAAAAAUUAAAGGAACGCGUGAAACACAAGCCAACACUGUAUUUUUGUUGUCCUUUAAUUUUUUUUAUCAUUUUCCCUUAUAAUACAUACGACUUGACUAGCUUACAGAAUCUGUAAGCUACAGACUGCAGCAUCAACCGUUGGAUGUGGAGUGAGAAACUAAACAAUAGAAAAUGGGAUGGUGGGAUGACACGAGAUGUUUGUUACAAAAUUUGUACCACAGACAGGUCCAUAAUACAUAAUAUAUCUUCACUAAUGGGUCAUCUUAUGUUACGUCCAGUGUAAGUAGCCUGUAACAUAACAGUAUUUUAUUACUGUUGUUAUGAGUGUGUGUAUAUUACACUCAACGUAACGUCACCUCAAUUAUUGGGACUGGAAAAUCGAGCAAAAGUCUGCUGAAAAAGGGGUAUGCAACAUGGAGCUUGCUAUGUUACAGGCUACUUACAGCUUGUGCAAGUAACAUAGCCAAUGGGAAUCUUCCACGGGUGUUGCUGCUGAUGCAACCUAGCCAAGGGAGCUGUUGAUGCAGGGUCAAAAUGCCAGGAACUUAGUCGUGUCCACGUGACAUAAGUGGCGGAAGGAGUUAGAUGAAAAUGGUUGUUAAAAUCAGGGGUCCGCUUAUAAUACAUGCAGCCGCUUUUUCUUAUUUUUUUUAAGGGUUAUUAUCAUUUUAUUAUUUUAAAAAUUAAAAAAAUAUUAAAUAAUUACAAAAAAUAUUAUCUCCUAUUACUUUUUUAUUAUAUCUUUAUAAAAAUAUUAUUUUACUAUUUUUUCGUUAGUUAACCAAUUAGUUGACUAACAAAAUACUAAUUUUAUCCUUCAUGAUUAAAAAACAUAUAUACUUGAAGCUUAUUUACAAAAUCAACUCUUCCAUAUUUAUUUGAUCAUCCAAGUUUUAUUUCUAAUAUUAGAAUAUAAAAAUAGAAUCAUGAAUAAGAUAAAUUUGUAAUCCAUAAAUCAUAAUUCCAGUAAAAAGAAUUAUGUUGGUAUUUUGUAUUCAUUUUUAUAAAAAAAUUACAAAUUUGUCUUAUUAAUGAUUCCAUUUUUAUAUCCUAAUAUUAGAAAUAAAACUUGCAUGAUCGAAUAAAUGUGGAAGAAUAUGAGUAUAAUAAAAAAAGUAAUGCAAAGUUAUGCUGGCUACCAUAUUGGGUAGCAAAAGGAUGGUAAUGAAAAUAAUUGGGUAGACACUAAAUAUAUAUGAUAUUUAUUCCUAUAUAAGAGACAAUUAAGUCUAGUAUGAAAGUUGGAACUGUAACGGUGGAACAUACAUGUGCCCUCAAAUUGAGGGCACAAUUUCUUACCACCAUUUUUUAUCUUAGACAUUUGAAUAAAGAAAAAUGAUAUUUGAGUAUUAAGAAGACAUUGCAAAGAUAGAAAGGACAGCGUUAUAGCAUGAACAAUAACACUGUUUUUAUCUUCUUAGGCCAUGUUUGAAUGCUAGGAUUAAGUAAGAGAUUGAACUAAUUUUGAAAUUAAAUAUUUAUUUCAUAUUUGGCAAGCUGAGUUGGAUUGAACUAAGGAGGACUAAAUUUAAAUUUAGUCUUAAAAUCACGGGAUUUGUAAUCUUAAUAUACUCAUGGAUUUAUUGGAAUAAAAUUAAGGAAAAAAGAAAGUUGUCCAUUUAUAAAAGUUUCAUUCAUAACAUUAUUUUUUAUUUAUACCGAAUAUCAAUCAAUCAAUAAAAUAAUUAAUUAAUUUUUUUAUUUAUGAUUUACUUAAAAAUUUUUAUUUAUUAUCUAUGAUCUAAUUAAAUUGGUACUUUUAGUUCUACUAGAUUAAAUUUUCAUUACUUGCAUAUUUAAUAAUUUUUCUAUAAAAUUAACCACUUAAUAAUUUAUUGCAUUAUUGAUUGUAAUAAAUUUAAUAAUCACUAAUACAAUAUUAAAUUGAUGUUUUCACACUGUAGAUAAAUUAAAAAUUGUCUCUAAGUAGGGAUAACCUUUCUCAAAUCCUUUUUAGAGUUGAACGUGGUGAUAAAAUGGAGAGUUAAGAGCAUAACAAAGUCAAGAAAUAAAUGAAAAUAUAUUAAAAUUUGAUGUUGAAGAUCAACCUUAAGACUUAAAAUUACACAGCACAUAUCUAGGCUCUUGAAUUUCAUACGACUCGUCUUUUCUGAAGUAUAAAUAUAAAUAAGAGACUAUGUAAAAUUUCUAGAUAGGGCCAAUCAAAGAGACAUCAAAUUCAAGGUUGAUUUAUAAUUAAUUAAUUAAUGCUUCGUUGAACUUACUUUAAACAUAAAUCAAGGGGUAUGUAGAUUACUUCAGUGAAUACAAUAAAGGAUGAGAAACUCACAGUAUAUUUUGUGUUCAUUUCCUUUGGUGAUUCACAUCCUUAUCUCGCAUUAUUCUCGAUUGUUCUUGGCCCAAGCCUUCUAGAGGCUCUCAUGUCAACCUCAUUUGCAGCAAAUCUUCGAUUACGGUUUCCCCGCCAAAACCACUUCUCUGGGGCAUUCUGUCGAACAUCUAUGGACAUAUAUCAAACACAUUAUUUUAACUGUUACUAAUGUUGUGUCUGAUACAAUAAGCAUGGCAACCACAAAUUCAAUUGCUUUGCUCUUGUUGAAAAUAAGAAAGAACUGCAAACAGAGCUUGCAGCAUCGUUAGGAGAAGUAUGACAAAAGCAGCAAGAACGGAGAUGAUUGCCCACGGAGUGUUGAAAUAAUUGUGCCUCAAAUUGGCCAUCCACUUAUUACGACGCCUGCUGCGAUGGAAGUUCACUUUGUUAAAUACCUCCCAGUAAUAGAACUGCUUACCGAGUACAGCACCAUCACCAAGCUUGUGCAUUAAGGUUACAAUCACUUCAUCAUCUCCUAAAAUAUUAUCAAUUAUUCCACGAUGACGAAGUAAUUCAGCAUCCUUUGAAGAGUUGAUGAGGCAGCCCAACAAUUCAACAUAAUCUAUUACAUGCUUCGGAUUUAUAUCUUGGGAACACUGCUCGAAUGUAAUGAGAUUCUGAAAAAUAGUUUCUGUAGCAUCAGUAAUUUCCAGGGAUGGGAUCUUCAUUACCCCAUUUUCGAACUUAAUAUCGAACAAGGAAUCAUCCUUAUGGACCUCAAACAUCUCGAACUGGACUCCAGCCUCUUGAAUGCCGAUGGCAGAACAAAUGAAUCUCCAGUCACUAUUAUUUUUGCCAUUAUUCCGAAAUGCAUUGAUGCCUGCAGAUGAUGGAAGCCAGUUAUCGUGUAUCAAAUGGACUAGAUGUUUGACUUCAUUUAUGCGAUAAUCUUUAUCUCGAUAAACAUCAUCCCUUCGACAACCCUUUCCUGGUAAUAUGCCAUUGAAAAAACGAAGGAUCAUGAGAAGAAAGUUAUCAUCAUUUGAAUUAUUAGGCAUCUUAGUAAUGGUAAACAACUUCCAGAGAACAAAAAAUGGAAGUUGAUUCUCAAGCAAAAUCAUAUCUCGUGCUAUGGAAGGUAACAUCCAACUCAGUUUAAAAAUUGGGUCAUCAUCUCCUCUCAAGCGUGUCAAUGCAAACUUACGAAUAACCUCGACGAUAAAACAACCAUCGAGAAGCAUCAUUAGCACAAACUUAUCUGUCUCUAAACUUAGGGACCCUCCAUAACAAUUUUUAGCUCUUUCUUCCAUUGCCCUCAUGGCUAUGACAUAGUCUGGCAAAGGCUUGCUCGUACGGUCUAGAAGUUCUCUGAGAUAGCGUGUUUUGUGCACCUCAAAGGUCGAUAAUUCUUCUUUACCGUGAUGAUAAGGACCAAUUGCUAGCAUUUUUGGUUCAUAAGCCUUUUCAUUUAACUUACGCAGUACAUCAGGCACCUUAAAAAUGUUGAACCGAUCAGAUGGUGUAGCAGUUAGACCAUCAAGCUUUUCCUUAACAAGAUCAAGUACUCUGUCAGCUGAUGGACUUGCCAUGCCUUGAUCUGCAUUUUAAGUCACAGGAUCAAAAUUUCAAAAAUGUUGAAAUCUGUAUAUCCAUAAUUAUUGACAACCACAGAAGACACAAGUACUUGAAUUUUUCAUAAAAGCUACUAUGAUGGUCAGGAAUUAUGUUUGAAUUUUAAUAAAUCUAGCUAACACCUAGUGAUAGAUAAUAGUUUCGACAUCUAAGAAUUAUACUACUUGCACAGCAGGAGGGAGUGAAACAAAAUCAUCAAUAUUCAACAAUAACCCAUUAAUUGAAUGACCAAAAACAACUCAAAAAGUUAUAUAUUUGUUUCGAUUUCAAUUCUUUAUAUCCUUAGUAAUAGUUCCUACAGCACUAAGCCAGAUCAUGGAUCUCUACUGUCACACGACUAAAGAAACCAAGCAGAAUUCACACGAAGUCGAUUAAUGCUUCAGAGUUAUAAGAUAUAUUAUUCUAAACAAUUUUGUAAUAACUUACUCGUUUGAAGGCUACCGUUCCUGUUGCUUAACGAGAUCGCAAUCUUACCGGUGCAAUGACGAGAUCCCAGUCUUACCGUUGCAAGGAAUUCGAUCCUUUGUUUUCUUUUGAUGAAAUAAAGUAGUAGAAUGUUUACUAAUAAUACAAAGGAGACUUCACGCGGGUGUGGGCUCCAAUCCGAAAAUUUAAAAUAUUUUAAAAUGAUUCUGACCAUAAAUUCAGCAUUCAACAAAGCUCAAUUUUACAACAUUACCCCUUCAACUGUAAACUUUCUUGAACACUCUUCUUUCUCCCUCAAUUGUUUCUCUUCUUUUCAAAAAAAAUAAAAGAAAAGAAAAAUUGUUUCUCCUCAAUCUGAUGAAAAGCCACUUGAAACCAGAGCUCUUUUUUUUUUUUUUUAUAGUAAAAAUCUGUUUCAGAAUAUCAUCGAACAAGUUCUCUAGCUUAAAAUUAUCUUGACAAAUCUUUUUUAAUUUUUACUUUUUUUAUUAAAUAUACAUUUCACAAUAUCACAUGAAUUACAUACACAAGUAAAUUUUUUUAAUUUAAGCUAAAAAAGGAAGCCUAAUUCAUUUUACCAUCCGGCCAACCGAAAGUUAUUAUAGACUUAUAAUGUUCUUAAAAUUCACUCAAUAUACAAUUUAUUUCUUUAUUUUUAUUUUUUAUUGAAUGUAUCCCAAUAUUCACUUGUUUUUUUUAUUUUGAGUGAUUGUCUCACUCGCUGAUUCUAGAUUCGACAUGUGUCCCAUAACACAUCUUUUAUAUUUACCGAAAAGCACACUCGUAUUUUUGUCUUUUGCAUCAUUAUUUUAUUUGACUUAAACAUCAUCCUAUAACCUCACAAUAAUUACUUACACAAGUGAAUUUUAAUUUAAACUUAAAGCUUACUUGAUUUUAAUAAUUUUUAGAUUAUUUGAGUCAUUCUAUGUAGUAAAAGACUGUGUAUUUGUUUAAUAAUUAUAUUAUACAGUUUGUUAAAUUAUUUGGUCCUUUUUCAUUGUCAUUGAAAAAGAAUCUUUGAAAUUAUGUUUCCAUAAUUAUUAAAUUAAAUGGGUGCAUAUAAUGCUAAAUUUAUUAUAUAAAAUGUUAUUGUUUAUAUUUAUCCUUGCCCCAUUUUGAUCUUGUUAUGUUUGGAAUAUUUUACUCUAGCUAACUCUCCAAAUAAUUGAAAAGGUAUCAAGAAACAAUUUGUUUGUUUGUUGUUUGUUUAUUCAUUUAAAUCUAUGUGUGGUUCAAAAAAAAAAAAUUCAUGGAACUUAGAUAACUACAAAUAUAGUUCAAAUAAAUUUCUAAGUUUCUGGCUUCUCUGGGACUUGAGAUAAGUAGUUGAAAGUAAUUUCUUGAAAUUUAGGAGAAGUAAUUGGAACAAUUUUGGAGAAACAGUUGACGUGUUUGAUCAAAAGUAUUUUGCUUAAACUUUGAAAGGACAUUGUGGUAAAUAAAAAGUGGCAGGGCUUUAAUUAUAAUAAAUAUAUGGGAUGAUAGUUAAAUCAAGUAAGACAAUGAAUAUAAUAGACAAAAUAAACAAUAGAUAAGUAUAAAACUAUAAAUGAUGUUUGGACCUGCCGCCUAUGGUACAGAUUCUGUACCUAACAUCUCCCCCCGUCAUCCCACCAUCCCAUUUUCUAUUGUUUAAUUUCCCACUCCACAUCCAACGACAUCCAACGGCUGAUGCUGCAGUCUGUAGCUUACUGAUUCUGUAAGCUAGUCGAGUCCAUGAUGUUUAUGGAGCCUACAACACUUUUUAUCUCUCACGUGUCAAAUGCAAAAUGAGAGACCAUAGCAUUCGUCUUUUUAUUUUUUUCUGCUUUUCUUUUAAGAUUGACACUUUUUCCUCAUCGGCAUCACUUUCUACAAAUCAAUUCUAUUGGUAUAAGAUUGUUUUAUACCUUAAUUAAGGUCUUUGGUAAGUAUAGUUGUAUUAAAUAUUUUUUGAGAGAAUUUUAUCUUAAUGAAGAAUACGAAGAUUUUUUUUUUUUUACUAUAAUCUAUUUUGUAAAUAGUAAUUAAAAAAAUGAUUUCAAAUUUUUAGGUAAAAAUUAUUAUUACCACUUUUUUGGCUAAAACUUUUUCAAUGGAUGUGAAAAACUUCUUCUAAUUACUUGGGAGAACGUUUCGGUAAUGGUUUUGAUGGCUUUCCUCAGUAGAUUAAUUUAUUAUUUAGUUUGCUUUUGAGUUUUAGUACUUUUAAGUCUUUGUAGCUAAUUGACGUUUGCAAUAGAACUAGCAAUAAAUUAAAUUAUUUAACAGAAAGAAGCAUAUCCUAUCCAAAAAAAAAGAAAGAAAGAAGCAUAUAGUAUUCACAUCUUCAUCAGAUAUCAGAAUAAAUAAAUUAUUGUGGUGUAAAACUUCUGUACAAUUUCCAUCCAUCACCUGUUAUAUGUUUAUCCAAAAUCCAAUUCAGAGAGGAAGUAUCACCACUAGUCCACCUACGGCACACUAGAAUAAGAUCACUGUGUAAAAGCAAAGUAUAUAUGAACUGAUAGUGAAAUUUACUUGUUAAUUCCUAUCUUAAACGAAUUAAAUCCCAUUUUUCAAUAAUAAACUUGUUAAUUUCAAAUCACAGAUGAAGUACCACUAUUGAUAACUAAGAUGAAAGACUGAACUACGAACUAGCUGCGAAACUUACUUGUUAAAGGCUGCCUGCCUGCCCUUGCUCACUCAAUCUCCUAUCUUCUUUGCAGUGCUAGCUAACUCCUUAAUAAUUUCCUUACGGAAUGAAAACUUCGGUAGCCAAUGGCUCAUACUUAUAUACAGUAGUUAUUUGUCCAGUAGUUAAGACUCUAUUGCCUUGUGACUCAUACUUAUUUGUCCAGUAGUUAAGAUUCUAUGUCUUGGGUAGCUGUAAUCUAACGGUUCUGAUUUAACUCACUAUUCAUUCUCAAAACCCCAGUCAUUAAAUUUCACUCAUUAUAAUCUAACGGUUCCCAACAAACUGAUAAAUAAGGGGGGCACGGUGCCCAAGGGGCUGGUAGCUGGACCCAUAUUUUCGAAUGAUAUAAAUACACAAAAAGCCAAAGGCCAAAAAAUAAACGAAGGAGGGUCAUAAAUAUCUCUCCUCGUGGCUGGUGAGAUUGGCUGUAGUUAUCAUUUUUACAUUUCAAAAGCCACCGUACUUGUCAACAGUCAUAAUUACAUGUUUGCAUGUACUCCAAUCUUGCCUGCCAAUAAAACAUUUUGAGGAGUGCUAGAAACAGUCGCUUGUUUCUUGUGUUGACACGUGUUUUUCUUUUCAGUUCAUUUAUGGCUAUUUAAUUUUACCAUAAUAUCCUUAUUAAAUCUUCUUCCAUGAAGCGCUUUUUUUUUUUUUUUUAAAACCAAUCAUGCAUAAUCCAUUUAUGACCAUCACUCAAUUCAUUUUCUCUCUGCAGGCCAAACCAAACCCAACACCAGAACAGAACCGCUUUCCCAAGCGUGAAAGAGAAAGAGAGAAUAAUGGAGGUGAGGCUCUCCAUUUUAUGGUGGCAGCAGAGGAAUCCCAUGCAUCCAUCCGCCUUUUUCUAUGAAGCUUUAAUUUAAUAAGUUCUUAUGAAAAUUUUUCUUUUUAGAAAAAGUUAAAACAAAAACCCAGCUUAAGAGAUGACUAUCCUGAAAUUUGCAAGACUUCUGAUUUUUUUUUUUUUGGUGUUAUACUGAAGAUUUUAUUUAUAAGCAGAUCUAAACCCUUUUUGGAUGGUUGAAAAAAUUGGAGCAACUUUUUGUUGGGGAAGAAUGAAAGUGGUUCGAAGAGAUAUUGAUGAGUAAUGGGUGAGAGUGGAUUUGAGAGUGAGGAUAAUGGCCAUUGAUGAAAUGGCGAAAUCGAGUGAGUUUAGUGAGACAAAGAGGGAGAAGGCUUGAGGGCCCGAAAUGGAUGGAGGAAAAAUUGAGGAAGAGAAGAAUGAAAAAUGGAUUGAAGGAUAAAUCUGUAAUUUAAAAAUGAUGUUUUUUUAUAAUGAAUAAAAGUUUGGAGUGUUACGCAACUACAAAACUGACAUCUUUAUAAUAAAUACAAACAUAUUAUUAAAAUAAAUACAAUAAUUUAAAGUUUUAAUAUUACUUUAAAUGUUAAAAAUAAUUUAGUAUUAUUAAUCUACUAAAAAGAUUAUAUUAUUUUAUAUUACAUCUGUGUUAAUUAAAAACCUUUAAAGUUAAUCUUAUAAUUAUUUCAUUCAAAGGAUAUUAUAAUUAAAAAAUAAUUUUAAUGUUCUUUUUUAAAAAUUUAAGAGUUUUCGUGAUUAUUUUUUAAAAUUUUGCAAGUGUACGUAUCUUUUUAUCCUUUAGCAUAUGAAAAAAUAAUAUGUUUUAUUAUAAAAAAUUUUAAUAUUAAAUUUAGUAGGUUUGAUUAUAAAACUUAUUAUGUGUCCAUUUUAAAAUCUCAGCACUUUAAUAUAUAACUAAUGAUACAGCCACAAACUCUUGUACAAACUUAUUUUAUACAAACUGACGUGGCAUUAAUUCAUUGGUUGAAUGAAAAUAUAAAUUAAUAAAAACAAAUCAUGUGGGCCAAGUGAUAUUUAAUUCAAUCAAUCUUAUCAUGCCACAUCAGUUUAUAUAAAAUAAGUUUGUACAAGAGUUUGUAGCUGUAUCAUUACUCUUAAUAUAUUGAGAUAGAGUAAUGAUAAAGUCAAAAAUUUUUGUAUAAAUUUAUUUUAUAUAAACUUAAAUGAAAAUAUAAAAUAAUAAAAAUAAAUUAUGUAAAUUUAGAUAUAUUUAAUUUAAUUAAUUUUAAAAUACCACAAUAAUUUAUAUAAAAUAAAAUUUUAUAUCAUAAUUUGUGGAUAUUAGGAUAAUUCCGCACAAUUGCUUCUCAAGAAAAAGAUCAAGGAUCAGGUAGACAAAAUGUGUGGUAGCUAUGGUGUACACAGUACACGUCACCUCAAUUGACAAUUAGUGGGAGUGAAAAAAUCUAGCAAAAGUCUGGGUUACGUAACAUAUGUCGGUUAGGUGAAAAUGGUGGUUAAAACUUAAAAUCAAGGGUCCGCUUAUAAUAGAGUGCUGUGUAUUGCAACGUGUCUUCUCUCUCUUCAGAAAAUGAGCACACGUGAAUUUUAAAUUGAGCCCACGAUCAGUUUAAAAAAUUAAACUAAACAUUGCACGUGAUAGUUGAGGACAAAAAAUUAAAUUAAUUUUUUUAUUAUGAAGUAUGUAUUAUUUUUAACAUCCAUUUAACAUACAUAUUUUUUUAAUUUUAUAUUUAUCUUACAAUUAAUAUCUUUACAUGAUAGGAAUUUGAAGUUUUAUAAGCCUAUAUAUUUUCAUUUUAAUUGCAAAUAUCACUUUAUUAAUUUCACAAAAAUUAAAUCUAAUAUGAACCGUGAAAGAUUAUUUUAUUAAUAUCCUUUGAUUGUAAUUAUAAAAUUUUAUAUUAUUAAGAAUCACUACUUUUGUUAUGAUAAUUAAUAGUGACAAUAAAUAAAAUAUUACAUCCAAUAAUAUUUACAUGGGAAAAAAAGUGAAAGAAAAUUAUUUAUAUUUUUAGAUUUUUAUUGAUAUGGUAGAAAAUUAUCUCAGCUUUAUAAAAUUUAACUUUUACAAGUUUGUUUUCAUUUUAUUUUCAAAUGUCACUUUGUUAAGUUCAUAAAAAUUAAAUCUAACACAUAUUCCUAAUUAACUUUAGUUUAUAAAUUAUGGAAGAUAAUUUUAUUGUUAUUCUUUAAUAGUAAUUAUAAAAUUUUAUGCUACAAAAAGUCAUUACUUUUAUUAUGAUAAUGAAUAGUGACAAUAAGUAAAAUAUUACAUCAAAUAAUAUUUAAUGGAAAAAAUGAGGAAAAUAAUCAUUGUAUGUUUUUAUAUUUCCAUUAUAAAGAUAUGGUUUGGGAUACUUUAAUUUAAAAUUUUGGCACAAUAUUUGAGCCACUAAUAUCUCAUAGUCUAAUGGUUGAUAUUGAAAGUCAAAACAACAUUUCAUAAUGUUAUAUCCUCCACCAUUGAAUUGCAUGAAAUAAAUAGUUUAAUUUUUUGAUAAAAAAUAAAAUCAAAAUAUUUCUCACUCUAUAAUUAUAUAGAGAUAUAUAUUUUUCAAUAAUAAUUGGUGAAUAAAAUAUUUCUUAUUUGUUGUGACUCAUAUAGUAUUAUUAAUAAAACACAUAUAAAAUAGUUUAUUGCAAUGCUUUCUAUUAUCAUUAUUGUUUAGGUAUUAAUGGUUUGUAAUUAAAUUUAUACAAUACAAAUUAUUACAAGACUUUGUGUUAAAUAUACUUGAUAUUAUAUUUUAUACUUAAUGGUAACUGAUUUUGGAAGAUUUAUUUAAAAGAGAUUAUCAUAUUACAAAUUUAAAGGAGGGCUGAAAAGUAAUUUUAAAUAAAUAUACUAUUUAAGUGGAAUUGUUUCAAACUCUAAGGGUGGUUACAAUUAUUUUACAAAAAUUAUCCACCCACUUAAACUGUUACAAUUAUUUUUAAAUUAUUUUUUAGUACAAAUAUUGUAUACCAUUAAUUAGAUCUAAUGGUUCACAAUUGAUACAUUGUUGAUGCUGUAAAAAACUUUACAGCACAUAGAGUAACCCAACCCUUAUUUGAUUUUAUGGAUUAAUAAGUGGAAGUUCCACUAUUGCUUAAGUAAUGGAUUUCAUUAAUUUUGAAUAUUGGUUUUGCUAUUCAGCCAAAAAGCUCUGGAAGGGUGGGCGAAGACAGAGAAGCUUCCGUUUAAAAUAAAAAAUUAUAUAUAUUAUUUGAAUUUUAUUUGUUUGUACAAUUAGUUCAACCAAAUGCUUCAUUUUGAUUAAUAACAAACUAACUUUUAAUAUUUUGCUUGGUGAAUGGUGAUAAAGAGCUUCACGUCCCAGUAUAUGAUUUAGGUUUUAGAUUAAACAUAUUAAAAAGCCAAAGGCAAGAAAAUAAUUUUUAUUCAUCAGCUAUCUUCUAUUUUAUAAUGAUAUAAAUACGCAAAUUAUCCUAACAAUUACAAUAGAAAGUUAAAAGGAAAAUAAAUGAAAGAGAAUAGUAAUUAUCUGGUGGGAUUGAUGGUAGUUACGAUUAUGUCUAUUACAUUUUAAAAGUCAUCAUUACAUGACAUCAUUACAUUUUUGUAUGUGCUCCAUAAUUAUUAUGCUAGCUGCCAAUAAAACAUUUUUUCCAUUUUCCAGCAUAUGUUUGGAAUUGCAUUAGCCUAUGGAGAGAUCAAUUCUUAAUAAUAAAUUAAUGUCAUCAUCAAUAAUCCGUCUUGGGAUUUUCAUAAUCCGCUUUCAAACUUUAGAUCGAACAAAAAUUUUACCCUUUUAGAGAUAUUUAUAAUUAAAAAAAAAGUGAAAUAUUUUUUGUGGGAUAGAUUAAUAAUAUUUUCAUAGAAGAAAAAAAAGAUACAUACAUCCUCAAGAUUUAAAAAAAUAGUCAUAGAACAUCUUAAAUUUUUAAUAAGGGACACUAAAAUUCCAUUUUCACCAUGACCCUUUGACACUAUAAACUCAAAAUAUUGACCCCCAAAAAUUUUAUAAUAAAUAGAAAUAUGACAUUAAAAUAAAUAUAAUAAUAUAUAUUUAAAAUAAUUUUACAAUCUAUUAGAUUUAUUUUAUUAUAUUAAAAAAUUAAUAAUAAAUAAAAACAUAAUAUUAAAAUAAGUAAAAUUUAAUUAUUUUGAAUAUUAUAUAAAAGUUAAUUCUAAUAAUAUUAAUAGGGAGAUAUUUUGUUAAUUGUAAAAUCUAUUUAACCAAAGAUUUAUUUAAAAUCUUUAUAAUAAAUACAAAUCUAUUAUUAAAAUAAAUAUAAUAAUUUAAAAUUUUAAUAUUACUUUAAAUAUUAAAAAUAAUUUAAUAUUAUUAAUCUACUAGAAAGAUUAUAUUAUUUAUAUUAUGCUUGUAUUAAUUAAAAAUCUUUAAAGUUAAUCUUAUAAUUAUUUUAUUCAAAGGCUAUUAUAAUUAAAAAAUAAUUUUAGUGUUCUUUUUUUAAAAUUUAAGAGUUUUCAUGAUUAUUUUUUGCAAUUUUGAAAGUGUAGAUGUCUUUUUAUCCUUUGGCAUGUGAUAAAAUAAUAUGUUUUAUUAUGAAAAUUUUUAAUAUUAAAUUUAGUAGGUUUGAUUAUGAAAUUUGUUAUGUGUCCAAUUUAAAAUCUCAGUACUCCAGUACAUUGAGAUACUAGGACAAUUACGCACAAUUGCUUCUCAAGAAAAAGAUCAAGGAUCGGACGGACAAAAUAUGUGGUAAUUAUGGUGUACAAGUUACCUCAAUUAUUGGGAGUGAAAAAAUCUAGCAAAAGUCUGCUGAAAAUGGGUUACGUAACAUAUGUGGCCUAAGUGAAAUAUUUCAAGCACAUAUUAAUCUGAUCAGAUUAAACUAAAAGACUACCAAAGACCCCCCCAACUUAACAUAAAAAAUAGGGCCUAAGUGAAAUAUUUAACAGAUUAUGAUAAUUAUGAAUAAAAGAUUAAGAAUUAUGAAUGCCUAUUAAAACUCAAUUGGAAGAGGAUUUGUGUUUUGUUGUCUUCAGCAUUGAAGAUUUGCAAAUGUGAAACAUCAUGGUUAGUUGUAGGCUUUAGAGAUUCUAGAUGUAGGAAACGAAGUUAUUGAGUUAAAUUGUUUUUUAGAUUAGGAUAGGGAUUCUGAAGAACAAAAUAAUUAAUUUGAUUAAAUAUACUUAAGCCGCCAACUCUUUUAAUUAUAUAUAUACAUAUAGACACACACACACACCUAGGAUAGGGUUUAAUGUGGGCUUUUUAUAAAAUAAAAUUACAAGGGACUUAAAUAAAUACAGUUAACAUUAAAAUUAACAACCUACGCCAAAUAAAUAAUUGAAUUUAGGAGGAAAGUUUAGUUCAAGGGACUCUCGCCCCCUGUGGUCACUCGUUGGAUUCAUCAAUGUUCAUACGAAUAUUGGAGCCCCUACGCACCUGCGAACCAAACAUUUUACUUAUCAGAACAAAAACGAAGGGAAGAAGGGAAUAUCGUAUAGCAAUUGGAACGGUAGCAUUCAAACAAGUUGGCUCUGAUUAAAAAUUGUAUAAUAUAAUUUGUAUCUUAUAACUUUGAAGCAUUAAUCGACUUAUUAAAUGAUUUCCCUUACAUUAGUUAUUUCCUCUACCAAUGUUUAUGGAAGAAAUUAGUUAUUUAAAAGUUAUAUUUCCUCUACCAAUGUUUAUGGAAGAAAUUAGUUAUUUUUCUCUAUCUAAUUAGGAGGGGAAACAAAAGUCCCAACUUGAACCGACACCCUCAAGUUAUUACAUUUUAAAGUAAUCAUGUUGUAUUUGAUUUUAUGGAUUAAUAGUAAUUCUUCAAUUUUUCAACGUCUAGUGAUCCAAAAUCCACAUAAACUUUCCACAAAUAUGAAAAAAAGAUAAGAAAACAAAUCAAUAUAACAUGAUGCGCCAAAUCCAGUUUCUCUAGGGGGGAGGCCGAAUUUUGCUUCUCUACUUUAUACUUUGUGUUGUGCGAUAAAACUUCAAUUGUGAAAUAUCUCUUUAUAUAGGCACUAGAGUUUCACCAAAAUAGGAAAUCUUAAAAGACUUGGAUUCUUUCCAAAUAAGAGUUUCUUUCCUUUUUAUAAUUCCUAUGAAUUUGAAUAUGAAUAAAUCUGAUAUUCUUGUCUUAUUUGUCUCCUGAGAAAUAUAUAUAACAUUUAAUGACUUCUUGUUUGAACCAACUUCUUGCUCUAAAUAGAUCUCAUGCGCCAAUUAUUGAAUCUCACUAUUAAUUGACUUGAUAAAUUAGAUAUCUAAUUAAAUUAGGAAACAAAUAUUCAUAAUAAAUUAGAAUAUCACUAAAUUAAGGAAUUAAUAAAUUAAUUCCUAUUACAAGAUAUGUGUUUUCAACUGAUUUUGGGGUAGGAAAAUCCAAAAUCUAUCUUGAACAAUGAAUUUAUAUUUUUGAGGGAGAUGGGGUACCUCACUAGUAUAUAGUGUGUGGUGCGGUGUAUCUGAAAUUCGGAGGAGGUGAGAAUGGGAGAGAGAGUGGUAACAAUGAUGGAAGGUCAGAGACGAGAGAUGUGUCCUUCCAAAAUGAGCUUUACGCCUGCAAAACAAUGAAAUAGAGUUAGAGGUGAAGCCGGGGCACCCCGGCGUUCACACUCCGACGCUCAAGUUAGUAAACUCAAGCUUUUAUGGCAAAGAGAGCUAGCUAGCCCUCUGUAAAUUAGGGUUUAAGGUUGAAGAAAACCUAUUUUUUGGAGUGUGAGUGUUUUUGGGCGAAUGAGAGCAUGAUGGAGAAUGAAACCUAGGCGCCUUUAUAUAUGGAGUACCUCAGCUACCACGUGGCAUAUCCUUUUUGGCUAACGUCCUUUUACCUCUUUAUAAUUUUUGGGCCGUUAUCUGCAUGUUCGCAGCGUAUCUCAUCUUUUGGAAACGUGGCGCACGCUGGAGAGUGGUCCAGGGUACCUCUGCAGUAGUUGUCGGGUAGGCGGCUGGGGGCCACUGUCCUUGAGACAGUGUCCUUCACUUUUGGCAGAGGUAGCAGGCGGCUGUCCCUCCUUUUUGCACGUCGUUUGUUAUUCCUAAUUCUGAAAAAAUCGAAUAAUAUCUUUUAGGAGGCGGAGACGUUUCUCAUGGUGGAUAUUUUCGGAGGAUUCUCUUGCAUCCGCUUUGCCGGGUACCUCGAGUUACGUGGGGUACCCCUAUUUGUAUGGGGUACCUCUAUUUGUGUGGGAUACCCCUAUUUACACGGGGUUCCUCAAGUCAUGCCAGGCACCUCGGAUUGUGCAGGGUACCUCUAUUUACACGGGGUUCCUCAAGUCAUGCCGGGCACCUCGGAUUGUGCAGGGUACCCUCCGAUUGUACUAAAAUCAUUCCAUUGGUUGACACGUGGCGCUCUAUUGCCUUUCAUAUUUUUCCCUCAAACAAUAUGUAAUAAAUAAACUUCUAAUUUAACUAGACUUACCAUAAAAUGAUAACUUUAUAAAUAAUGACCUUAACAAAAAAAAAAAUUUCUUCAUCAAUUAUUAUCUAUUUUAAAAUGAUAUAAAUACACAAGCUACCGUAACAAUUACAAAAGAAAGUCAAAGGAAAGUAAAUGAAGAAAGUAGUAACUGUCUGGUAGGGUUGGUGAUAGUUAUCAUUACGUCUUUGACAUUUCAAAAGUUACUGUUGCUCGUCAAGAGACCUCAUUCCAUUUUUGCAUGUGUUCCGUAAUUAUUAUGCUUGCGGCUGCCCAUAAGACAUUUUUUCCAUUUUCAUCAUACGUUUGGACUUUGGAAUUGCAUUAGUCUCUCCAGAGAUCAUUUCUUAAUAAUAAAUUAAUAUCAUCAUCAAUAAUCGGUCUUGGGAUUUUCAUAAUCCGCUUUCAAACUUUAGAUCGAACAAAAAUUUUACCCUCAGGUUUUUAGAGAUAUUUGUAAUUGAAAAAUUUUGAAAAACUUUUUGUGGGAUAGUUUAAUAAUAUUUUCGUAUUAAAAAAAAAAGACACAUGCAUCCUCAAGAUUUAGAAAAAUACUCAUAAAGCAUCCCAAAUUUUUAAUAAAAGACACCAAAAUUCUUUUUUGAUCAUGACCCUUUGAUACUAUGAACUCAAAAAAUUGAUUCCAAAAUUUUUAUAAUAAAUAGAAAUAUAGCAUUAAAAUAAAUAUAAUAAUAUAUAUUUAAAACAAUUUUACAAUCUAUUAGAUUUAUUUUAUUAUAUUAAAAUUUUAUAAUAAUAAAUAAAAACAUAAUAUUAAAAUAAAUAAAUUUAAAUUAUUUUGAAUAUUAUAUAAAAGUUAAUUUUAAUAAUAUUAAUAGGAGAUAUUUUGUUAAUUGUAAAAUCUAUUUAACCAAAGAUUUAUUUAAAAUCUUUAUAAUAAAUACAAACAUAUUAUUAAAAUAAAUAUAAUAAUUUAAAAUUUUAAUAUCACUUUAAAUGUUAAAAAUAAUUUAAUAUCAUUAAUCCACUAGAAAGAUUAUAUUAUUUAUAUUACGUUUGUAUUAAUUAAAAACCUUUAAAGUUAAUCUUAUAAUUAUUUCAUUCAAAGGAUAUUAUAAUUAAAAAAUAAUUUUAGUGUUCUUUUUUUUUAAAUUUAAGAGUUUUCGUGAUUAUUUUUUAAAAUUUUGAAAGUGUAAGUGUCUUUUUAUCCUUUGGCAUAUAACAAAUAUUAUGUUUUAUUAUAAAAUUUUUAAGGAAAAUUCUAUGAUGCCGUGAUUAAAAUUACGGUAUCAAUGCCGUAGUUAUUAUGUACCAUUAGAUUAGAUCAACGGCACAUAAUAAUUAUAAUCAUAUAAAUUUUAUUUUUUCAACAGGUUACAACCUGGUUAACAUUUUUUUAUAAGUAAAAGUUAACCGAUUAAAAUUAAAAAGAAUUAUUAUAUUUUUUUAGAAAAUUAUUAUAACUGAUUUAUUUUAAAAUCACUCAUUCACGUUAAUUAGGGAUUAUGAUAGGACCGAAGUAAAACUUCAGCCGAUUCAUAUUGAGAGGAAAAGAGCAACUGAGUCUUUCUCCACUACCAACUCCACGUCAUCGCCGUUCCGCCGUUUUGUUUCAUCAUGUGUUGCGAAAGGGGUUGUUUCCCAGUGGCCAACUCGAAGAGGCUAAAGCUUGUUAAAUUCCAAAACACAUAAUCCUUGCAAACUAGAACGGGCAAAGGCUAUCUUUGAAUUGUGCUUUUUUUUCCUGUUUUUCGAGCCAGACUGCCCACCAAGUUAGCCAAUUCUUGGUACUAAUUUUGUCUUUUAGUAUUGAUUUUUGGGGAAUUCCUUUUUUCACCUUGAUUUUCUUUUGAAUUGUUUUAUAUCUACUUGAUUUUCUUUCUUUCACUCUUUUGUAUUCUUUGGUUUUCUUCAUCAAAAUUUACUGUUUUCACAUGUUAUCUUUAUUAUUUCCUGCUAAUUAAUUUUGUAUUGUAAAUAAUCUAUUUGUUGGACUUCCAGAGUGAGCAAGUUAAUUUGAUUUAAUUAGGUGCCUAUUAUAAUAGCUUUUCUGGUUUGUUGUAGGCAAUUCUAACUGUAUUCUACAUAAACUUCCAUAUGAUUAGAUCUUCAUAAAUGCAAAGGAUAAUAAUGUUAUAAGCCAUUGGCCUAAGAAAAUGUGUAAAUCUUCUAUUUGAGGUACAAAUUUUCUAUCAUAUGUUUUUUUUUAUUUUGUAUUUUUUCACAAAGAACUGGUUGUUAAGAUCCUAUUUCAUUAGUUGAAACUGAUUGAAAGGAGAUUACCCUUCGGCAGUUGGUGGGAAAGAUUUAAGUUCAUCUUUCUGGAUCUUCUACUUUAGACUUAUCAUUCAAGAAAGUGUCAAAACUCGAAUGGCUGUAAAACUUUGAACAGAUUAUUAAUUAAUUUAGGUGCAAGAUCUUUUAUAACACUUUAAUAAGUUAUUACCAUUGCAUUCUUUUUUUCUUUUCUUUGAGAAGAAACCAUUUAACUUUAGACUAACUUCCAAAUUUACCUUUGUAAUUUAGCUAAAUAGGUAAAUUUAUUCAAAAGCUUUCCUCCUCGCAAGCUUAAGGUACUUCAACUUUGCCUACAACUACAAGUUAAAGAGAAAUUAUCGUGAAAACCGUGCCACGGCCGUAGUAUUUAAAAUGUGCACAAGGAGCUUAGAGAACUGGGCUUUGUUUGAUUACAUGAAAGGAAAUGGACAAAAUUUAUGUUACAAAAGAAGCUUGGAGCUGAUAAAUGAUGCAGUAUGAGUGAACUUUUUGUCGCUCUUUGAGGAAUUUUUCUACAAAUUUUGAUAUAGCUAUUAUUUUGGUGAAUGAUUUAUUCUUUUCUUUUUUCUUCAAUAUUAUGAUUUUGUUUCCAUAUUUUAAUAGAAAUUAUUAAAAUUCUAAGGAAAUUGCACUAUUUAUCUCAAGAAAGUGGCUUAAUUCUACAGAUAUGACAUCAUAUUGAGUAAUGUUUCCAUAAUUACAAGCAUAAUAGUGGCUUAACUCCAUGAUUUGAGUAUUUUUGCCAUUAUUUUUAAAUGCUAUUUUCCCUUUUUUAAGAAAAAAAUUGUAAAAGAGGGAGGGUGGCUUGAUUGAAUGGUUAACAAUAAUGGUCCUCACUGGUUAACAAGAUAUAAUAGUACUAAAAUAUUUUCUUUUCGGUUGGUUUGUAAUGAGGAUGGUUUCAUUUAUAUUGUUCAAAUUAACAUGCUCUUGCACGCUGAGGAAAUUAUAUUGUUUAUGCCAUAAAAGUGACUUAAUUCUAUAAAUAUGAUAUCACACUGAGUAAUUCUAGUAAUAUAACAAUUCAUUAAAAAUAAGUCGUAAACAUCCUUAAAAGAUGAUAUUUAUUCUCCAUUUUACCUGCUCAUUAGUCAUUACCCAUCUCUCUUUACCCAACCAUUACCAAUUCUUGGCUAAUAACUACCCAACUUGUAAUUGUUAAUUACUUGAUCUUUAUCUAAAAAUUUUGUAAUUGUUAAUUAUUUGAUCUUUAUCUAAAAAUUUUGUAAUUGUUAAUUACUUGAUCUUUAUCUAAAAAUUAUACAAUCUUUUACCUUACUCCUAUGACAUUUAUAUUCAUACUUUAUUUAUAUUGAACUAUGAUUGCGUAUUUUUCUAAUUUCUUGGGUUAAAAAAAAAUUGAAAAGAGAUCAUAUAUUUUGAAAUUAGAUACUUUUGAUGGCAUAACUUAACUAAAUGAAUUAUGUUACAUUAGUUUGUAGAAAAUAAAUUUAUAGAAUAGUUUAUAUGAUAAAUAAAAUAAAAAUUAAGAUGCAAACAUAUAUACAUGCAAGAAACACUUGGCCUGACUUUUUAGUCAGAUUGACUUGACCCGAAUUUUCUAAACUUUGACUUGAAUUUAAGGGUCUAGGAUCAGGCUCAAGCCUAAAUAUUAGCACCCAAUUAAAUUUAGAUUAGGGUUCAGGCCCUACAUGCUUGACCUGACCCUAAAACUUAAAAACAUUGUUUAUAUAUGUUUAUUAUUUAUAUAAUAAUAUGGUUGCGAUCUUGAGUGAUUUUUAUUUUUAUGUUACUUUAAACAAUUUCUAAAGCUUUUAUGUUACUUUAAACUUUUUAGUCAAAUGUCCAUUUUUUAAUUUUAAAUUAAUUAAAAAUUAAAAAAAUUUGAAAGCAACUAUGAUCGGGCCUAGGCUUUCAAAUAAUGUUAGAGUUGUAAAUUGCAAGAAGAACUUGUAAACGAAACAAAAACUUAGAAAAAUGACAUAGAACUUGUAAAUUGACAUUAAGUGUGAAAUGAAACAAAAAAAGUGUAAACCACACAUAAUACUAGUAAAUUGAUGGAAAAAUUGGUAAAUUAAUGUUGGAGUUGUAAAUUGCAAGAAGAACUUGUAAACAAAACAAAAACUUAGAAAAAUGACAUAGAACUUGUAAAUUGACAUUAAAUGUGAAAUGAAACAAAAAAUUUGUAAACCACACAUAAAACUAGUAAAUUAAUAGAAAAAUGGGUAAAUUAAUGUUGGAGUUGUAAUUGGCAAGAAGAACUUGUAAACAAAACAAAAACUUAGAAAAAUGACAUAUAACUUGUAAAUUGACAUUAAGUGUAAAAUGAAACAAAAAAUAUGUAAAUCACACAUAAAACUAGUAAAUUAAUGGAAAAUUGGUAAAUUAAUGUUAGAGUUGUAAAUUAUAAGAAGAACUUGUAAACAAAACAAAAACUUAGAAAAAUGACAUAGAACUUGUAAAUUGACAUUAAGUGUGAAAUGAAACAAAAAAUAUGUAAAUCACACAUAAAACUAGUAAAUUAAUGGAAAAAUUGGUAAAUUAAUAUUGGAGUUGUAAAUUGAAAGAAGAACUUGUAAACAAAACAAAAACUUAGAAAAAUGACAUAUAACUUGUACAUUUACAUUAAGUGUGAAAUAAAACAAAAAAUGUGUAAAUCACACAAAAAAUUAGUAAAUUGAUGGAAAAAUGUGUAAAUCACACAAAAAAUUAGUAAAUUGAUGGAAAAAUGAGUAAAUUAAUGUUGGAGUUGUAAAUUGUAAGAAGAACUUGUAAACAAAACAAAAACUUAGAAAAAUGACAUAGAACUUGUAAAUUGACAUUAAGUGUGAAAUAAAACAAAAAUGUGUAAAUCACACAUAAAACUAGUAAAUUGAUGGAAAAAUGAGUAAAUUAAUGUUGGAGUUGUAAAUUGUAAGAAGAACUUGUAAACAAAACAAAAACUUAGAAAAAUGACAUAAAACUUGUAAAUUGACAUUAAGUGUGAAAUAAAACAAAAAAUAUGUAAGUCACACAUAAAACUAGUAAAUUGAUGAAAAAAUUGGUAAAUUAAUGUUAGAGUUGUAAAUUAUAAGAAGAACUUGUAAACAAAACAAAAACUUAGAAAAAUGACAUAGAACUUGUAAAUUUACAUUAAGUGUGAAAUAAAACAAAAAAUGUGUAAAUCACACAAAAAACUAGUAAAUUGAUGGAAAACUUGGUAAAUUAAUGUUGGAGUUGUAAAUUGUAAGAAGAACUUGUAAACAAAACAAAAACUUAGAAAAAUGACAUAGAACUUGUAAAUUGACAUUAAGUGUGAAAUAAAAUAAAAAAUGUGUAAAUCACACAUAAAACUAGUAAAUUGAUGGAAAAAUGAGUAAAUUAAUGUUGGAGUUGUAAAUUGUAAGAAGAACUUGUAAACAAAACAAAAGCUUAGAAAAAUGACAUAAAACUUGUAAAUUGACAUUAAGUGUGAAAUAAAACAAAAAAUGUGUAAAUCACACAAAAAACUAGUAAAUUGAUGGAAAAAUUGGUAAAUUAAUGUUGGAGUUGUAAAUUGUAAGAAGAACUUGUAAACAAAACAAAAACUUAGAAAAAUGACAUAGAACUUGUAAAUUGACAUUAAGUGUGAAAUAAAAUAAAAAAUGUGUAAAUCACACAUAAAACUAGUAAAUUGAUGGAAAAAUGAGUAAAUUAAUGUUGGAGUUGUAAAUUGUAAGAAGAACUUGUAAACAAAACAAAACUUAGAAAAAUGACAUAAAACUUGUAAAUUGACAUUAAGUGUGAAAUAAAACAAAAAAUAUGUAAGUCACACAUAAAACUAGUAAAUUAAUGGAAAAAUUGGUAAAUUAAUGUUAGAGUUGUAAAUUGUAAGAAGAACUUGUAAACAAAACAAAAACUUAGAAAAAUGACAUAGAACUUGUAAAUUGACAUUAAGUGUGAAAUAAAACAAAAAAUGUAUAAAUCACACAAAAAACUAGUAAAUUGAUGGAAAAAUGAGUAAAUUAAUAUUGGAGUUGUAAAUUGUAAGAAUAACUUGUAAACAAAACAAAAACUUAGAAAAAUGACAUAGAACUUGUAAAUUGACAUUAAGUGUGAAAUUGAACAAAAAAUUUGUAAAUCACACAUAAAACUAGUAAAUUAAUGAAAAAAUAGGUAAAUUAAUGUUAGAGUUGUAAAUUAUAAGAAGAACUUGUAAACAAAACAAAAACUUGUAAAUGUUGCAUAAAACUUGUAAAUCAACAUUAACUUGUAAAAGUUUCAUAAAACUUGUAAAUCACACAUAAAAUAGUAAAUGUAACCUGGAACUUGAACAAAAAAGAGUAAUUACCUGCUACUUAGGUAACAUGUUAUCUAUUUAUUUAGAAUUAAUGGUAGAAAUUUUUUAUUCAAAUCUAACGGUUCACGUCCAUUACGGCAUCAAUGCCGUAAAUUUAGUUACGGCAUUAUAGAAUGACCCAAUUUUUAAUAUUAAAUUUAGUAGGUUAGAUUAUGAAACUUAUUACGUGUCCAUUUUAAAAUAUCUGCACUUCAGUAUAUUGAGAUAUUAGGAUAAUUACGCACAAUUGCUUCUCAAGAAAAAGAUCAAGGAUCGGGUAGACAAAAUGUGUGGUAAUUAUGGUGUGCAAGUCACCUCAAUCAUUAUUAUUAUUAUUCUAAAAGGCUACCAAAGACCCCCUCAACUUAACAUAAAAAAUAGGGCCUAAGUGAAAUAUUUAACAAAUUAUGAUAAUUAUGAAUAAAAGAUGAAGAAUUAUGAAUGCCUAUUAGAACUUAAUUGGAAGAGGAUUUGGGUUUUGCUGUCUUCAGCCUUGAAGAUUUGCAAAUGUGAAACAUCAUGGUUUGUUGUAGGCUUUAGAGAUUCUAGAUGUAGGAAACGAAGUUAUUGAGUCAAAUUGUUUUUUAGAUUAGGAUAGGGAUUCUGAAGAACAAAAUAAAUAAUUUGAUUAAAUAUAUACAUAUAGACAGACACACACACAUAGGAUAGAGUUUAAUGUGGGCUUUUUAUAAAAUAAAAUUACAAGGGACUUAAAUAAAUACAGUUAACAUUAAAAUUAACUACCUACGCCAAAUAAAUAAUUGAAUUUAGGAGGAAAGUUUAGUUCAAGGGACUCUCGCCCCCUGUGGUCACUCGUUGGAUUCAUCAAUGUUCGUACGAAUAUUGGAGCCCCUACGCACCUGCAAACCAAACAUUUUACUUAUCAGAACAAAAACGAAGGGAAGAAGGGAAUAUCGUAUAGCAAUUGGAACGGUAGCAUUCAAACAAUUUGGCUCUGAUUAAAAAUUGUAUAAUAUAAUUUGUAUCUUAUAACUUUGAAGCAUUAAUCGACUUAUUAAAUGAUUUCCCUUGCAUGGUAUUGUACCCUUGAAUUUUGCUUCUUUUCUUUAGCCGUGUGAGACACAGGAUCCCUGAUCUGGCUCAGUGCUUAUUCUCUUUAAAUGUUGAAACUAUUAUCAAUCACUUUGCUUGUCCCGGAAUUUAUUAAACUGCAGUCUUAAUUACUGACAUUUAAACGCAAAAUUCCAAGUACUUGUGUGGCACUUUUAAUUUGGUUGUCCACAAUUUAGUAAAAUUCAGAUUUCAACAUUUGUGCCUCUGUGUAUAUUUAAAUGCAGAUCAAGUCAUGGCAAGUGAACCACCUAAAAUGGUACUUGAUCUUGUUGGAGAAAAGCUUCAUCGCCCAACCCUGCACCUUCUCAAUUCAGCAUUUUCGGAGUCCCAGAUGUACUGCGCAAGUUAAAUGAAAAGGCUUACGAACCAGAAUUACUAGCAAUCGGUCCUUACCAUCACAGUAAACGUCACUUAUCGGCCUUUGAAGAGCACAAAAUCAGCUAUCAUCAAACUCUCAUAGAGCGAACGGGUAUACGUUAUGCAGAGUAUGUGAGGGCAAUGUGGGCACUGGAAGAAAGAGCUCGAAAUUGUUACGGAGGAUCCAUAAGUUUUGGCAAGAACGAGUUUGUUCAAAUGAUGUUUUGUCGAUAGUUGUUUCAUUGUUGAGGUUAUUCGUAAGUUUGGAUUGCCACAUUUGAGAGGAGAUGAUGGCCCCAUUUUUAAACAAGGAUGGAUGUUACCUCAUGUAGGAAGAGAUAUGAUUUUCCUUAACAAUCAACUUCCACUUUUCGUUGUUUGGAAGUUGUUUAUAAUGUCUGAGAUGUCUAAUAUUCCAAGGAACGAAAUUUACACUAUCAAGACAUUCAUGCUUUUAUUCUAGGAACUUUGCAUAUUUGUUGUUUGGUAGAAAAGGAGUGUCACGGAAUAGAGAAAAGUUCCACCCCACCUUUAGUCUGAUAAUAUGCCUCUCUGUUAAGUCUUUAGGUGUCUUGUUUUUAGCAUAUAUAUAGCAGAAGUCCAGCAGCUAACUCGUCCUUUACAUUGAACAAAUCUUAAUUAGCUGAGAAAAAAUUCAUAAGUUGAACAAAUAUUAAUUAGCUGAGAACUAAUCAUGAGUAGUAUUAGGGUCCGUUUGGGCUUGAGGUUGGUCAAUGUGUUUGGUAAACACUAAUCCAGGUACAUUGGUGAAAUCUUGAUCUUUGUACGACUUUUUCGUGAAUCAAUUCCUUAAAUUAGCACAAUAUUUCCCAUGAAGUUAUGCACACACCAAAUCAUGGUUCCUAUUCUAAUCUUAAUUAGACUGCAAGUAAUUCUGCUGUGCGCUCUGGCUUGUAGCAUUUUUUUUGGUCUUUAAUUUCGAAAGAUGAUAAUUAUUGUUAAUUCUUGAAUCACAUUUCAGGCAAGAUGUCGGGAACUGCCUUUACAUGAAGAGAAAGGCAUUAUAUGGCAAGUUUUCGCAGAAAGGUGUUGGGAAAAUAUGCUCUUUAAAAGCAUAUGUGUUUAUUUAAUUGUAAUAAACAUUUUUUCUGAUUAAUAAAAUAAAUGAGGUAUUUUAUUCAAAUAUCUUAAUUGCAUUAAUAUUUGUAUUAAAGUCCAUUUAAUCAUAUUAUAUGUAUUUAUGUGAUCACUAUGUGGAUUCACAGAAGACAUAAAUACAAGUUAUCUUAUGAUUAAAUAAAUUUAGUUCGCAGUUGAUAAAUAAAGUUGGGCACUUUAUUUAGGUAUAGACUGUAAUAAAUUCAUUGAAUGAUUUGUCUUAAUCAUGUAUGAAUUUAUUGAUGUAGUACGACUACAUUGAACAGGAUCACAUAUGAGAUUUAAUUAACUUUGUAAUAACUGUCAGACUUAUUAAAUCUCAUAGGCGUUGAUUUUACUGUAAUCUUAAUCUUGAGUUAAUUAUGAUUUCAUGAUUGUGAUUGUUAUUUCAUUUGAGUUACCAAUGGGCACGACACAUCCUUGUGGUCAAGAUUACCCGGUAUCUUGGUGGGAGCAAUUAUGAGUAUUGGAGUUAUGGAUUAACAAUAUAGAAUUUGUACAACACAUCUCUUGAUAGGUUUUCGGUACUUGAUCAUAAAAUUCUCUGGCCAGAGUGUAUCAACAUAUUUAGUAUGUUGAAAAUGAUCAUUAGAGAAAACCAGUAAGGAUCAAUGAAUAAGAUGUUAUUAAAUUGAUUGGACAGUUGAGAUAUCAAUUUAAUUAACGAUGUGGUACAAAGGAUUGUGCAGUAAAGAAAUCAAUGUGGCUUGGGACGAAUUAUUAUUCGAGCAUACAAUUAUGGAAGUCAGUUCCAAUCUUUUAGUGGAGUAGAUUUGGAAUUAAAUAAUUGGGCUAGUUUAAUUACAGGCCUAAUUAUUGUAGCCACUAUUGUAUGUUCCCAAAUGAUCCCCGGGUUAGCUCAUUUAAUUGACUGCACCACUACUGGACUAAUAAGUAAGAUAACUAGCUAUUUGGGUCAAAAGCCUAAAUAUAUCAUUUAGUGGGAGGCUCCAUUUAAUUAGCUUUUGUAUAAUGGGCCUUAUGUUAUUUUACAAGGUGGGUCCCCUAUUGAAAAAGAAAAUAACGUGAGUUUUAUGAAGGGUAUUACUAGGAGCCUAGGGUUUUCACUAAAGGGUGAUAUAAAAGGCUUAUUUUUCCCAAAAGAAAAAAGAGAAGCCACUUUAUAUAAAUCAGAGAAUAAGAUUUUUCUCUCCAUUGUUGAGAGAAAAAUUUUCUCGUGCUAGUUGCUUUGGUAGUGAUAAAGGCGCCCACACGUCAAGUGCAGAUCGAACCUGAGUCAUAACCUGGAAGAUCAUAGGAGACAGUUCGUGAUCUAACAAGCGUGGUGGUGACGGAUCGUGAUCUAACAGGAGUGGUGGUGGCGGAUCGUGAUCUAGGAGCCUAAAUCACUUCAGCGGAAAAAGCAAACUCAGAUUUACAAGGUACGAUUUCUAGAAUACGAAUUCUUAUAUAUUAUAUGAGAGCGAUCUUCAAAAGGUUUUAUAAAAAAUUAAAAAUCUAAUUUUUCCCCAACAAUUGGUAUCAGAGCCAUCUCAUAUUAAUAUAUAAGAAUUUCGUAUGAAAUCAUUCUUGAAAUUUAUGUAUUAGAGUGGCACAAUUUAUUCAGAUAUAUAUUAAUUGUUUAAUAUAUGAAUAAAGCAUGUUUUGGUUUGUCUUAAUUCAUGGUUAGAUUUUCCGUUGUAUUUUUCGUUUGGAUCUGUAACAAGAGGGGUGGCUUUUUAUCACCAUAAUUCCCUCUUGAUUUAUUUUACUGUAAUUGAAAUUUUGUAAGCCAAAAUUUGCGUUGAAAAUUUGUAAAUCACCGAAGCAUCAUCACUGGAAAACGAGCGCAAACAAUGGAGGACGGAAAUUUCAGCAACGGCCAGCAGCACACGCUGCUGUGCGAACAGCGCGCGGCCCGCGUGGGCAGCAACGCGCGCUGCACGCCCAGCAGUUGCCGCGUGCGCGCUGCAAGCCCGCAGAGCACGCUGUGACCAGCAGCUGCAGCGUGCAACCAGCAGCGUGAGCAAGGGCUUCUAGUUGCACGCGCGGGUUUGAUGCGUUUCCGGCGAGGCGGCAGCGGUUGGAGAUGUGUCGGAGAUCGGCGGCUGUCCGGUGUGAAACAGUGAACAAUGGUUGGAUGCCUUUGUGAUGAUGGCGGCUGGGGAAAGAAAAAUAUGGAUUUAGGGUUUCAUGGCUUUUGUCAUGGAGGUCCCUAUGGUUCCAUAAUUUUUUAUUUGGGCAGUCAAGUUUUAAUUUUUUGCAUUUAAGUCUAAAAACAGUUUUGGGCUUAAAGAAUCCUAGUUUUAGGCCCAAUUUCAAUUAGGCUUAAUGGAUUAAAAAUGCAUAGAUAAAAUUAAAUACAUUAAAUUUAUUUUUGGUCCAAAAGUUUUAUUUUAAUAAAAAUAAAAUUAAAACUAUUUAUUUUAUUUCAAAAUUAAAAUUGGACCAAUUAUAAAUUUAAAAGCCCAAUUUCCCCUAGUCCAUUAACAAAGACAAACUUAUGGAAGAUGGACAUUGACAAGAAGCCCAAUGAAGAUUAGGCUUAGGGUUAAUGUAUUUUUCAUUACUAGGAAAGCCAUGAAUUAAGAUUAUUUAAUUGUUUUUCUAUAUGUUAUGUUUUGGAUGAUAACAUGCCAUGAUAACAUGCCAUGAUAACAUGUCAUAUAGAAUAGGUAGUGCCACUCUAUGCAUAAUGAUACAUGUCAUUCAUUAAUAAUGAAUUUCAUUAUAUUGUUUGAAAUUUGUAUAUGCUUAAUAAUAUUUGAUAUCAUCUAGAUAAUAUUAUAGGAAGCAUGCAAUUAACAAUAUGUAUGUUUUAAAUAGGAAAAACCAAUUUUAAAAUAUUGAGUGGGAGAGGGAAAAUUCAAGAUAAUUUUCCCACGGGCUCCAUUGUUAGUUCAAUAAUAAAAUUAUAUAUAUACCUCGACUUCAUGAUACGGUGAUGCUCCCUACGGAGGGUAUAUAUAUUAGAUAUUUUAUUUGAUGAACUUCUUCAAAGAUAAAAUUGAAAUAUUUUUCAAUCGAUUGCUCACCCCAACGGUGACUAUUGAUAUGAAAAAUAUGUAGAUUGAAAUAAUGGUUAUACACUCAACUAAAAUUUGUUAUUAACCUUCCCAACGAAGCUCUGUUAACAAAUUUAGGCCCAAAAGGAUAACGAUAAUUAUUUAUCAUGUCUCUACAUGAAAGUAAAUAAUCCAAUGGAUAAUUGGGUCUAGUAAGUGUAGACAUGACUUCCCCAACGGAUAGCUUGUCAAAGCGGUACUAGAUUAUCGUUACAAUAAAUUAAAAUGCAUUUAUGGUUUUUUGCAUUUUUGUCAUUUAUUGUGAAUAUUAUUUCAAAUUAUUUAUGCAUGGAUGUUUUAUUUUUCAGAAAAUGUCUUCCCUGAGCCCACUUACUAUUAUUCUGAGUCAAAACAAACUCACUGGAGAGAACUAUAUAGAUUGGAAAAGAAAUCUAUUCAUUGUCCUGACUGCUGAAAAUUAUAAAUAUGUCUUAACCCAGCCAUGCCCUCCAGUUCCAGCAGAUGAUGCUCAUAGAAAUCAGAGGAGGCUUUAUGAGAAAUGGCAAAAGGCCAAUGAAAUGGCAAAGUGCUACAUUUUAGCCUCGAUUUCUAAUAUUCUGCAGACCAAACAUCAGAACUUAGAGACUGCCACUGAAAUAAUGGAUAGUCUCCAACAGAUGUUCGGGCAGAGUACUCGCUCUGCGAGACAAGCAGCGCUGAAAGGAAUUAUGAACAGUAAAAUGGGGAAGGGCACAAGAGUUCGUGAUCAUGUCCUCAAAAUGAUGGACUAUUUGAAUGAGGCUGAGAUUCAGGGAGCACAAAUCGAUGAUAACUCAAAGAUUGACAUGGUGCUAGAAUCUCUGCCAGAAACAUUCAAGGAGUUUAAGGUCAAUUAUAACAUGAACAAAAGAAACAUGACCUUAACUGAAUUGAUGAACGAACUUCAUUCUGCUGAAGAGAUCUAUCGUGCUGAGAAAUCUCUGGGAAGCAUAAAUAUUACUGAAAAAAGUUCAUCUUCUGGGCCUAAGCCGAAAGGCAAAGGUAAGAAGAAAGCUGGGAAAAAGAGACCGUCUACCAAGCAAGAUGGCAAGCCGAAAGGCAAAUGCUUCAAGUGUGGACAGAAAGGUCACUGGAAAAAGGAUUGCCCUAAGAUUGUGAAAUCAGGUAUGGGAAAUCUUUUUGUAAUUGAGGCCUGUUUAGUUCAGAAUCCUAUUGACACUUGGGUGUUGGAUUCAGGAGCAACUAAUCAUAUUUGUAAUUCACUUUAUUGGUUUCAGGAAACCAGGAAAAUAAGUGAAGGAAGCGUCAAGCUGCAGUUAGGGACAGGACAGUUCGUGUCAGCAGUGAAGACUGGAUCUGUUUUAUUAUCUUUUAAUAAUGAGACUUUAGUUUUGAAUAAUUGUCUUUAUGUUCCAGACAUUAAGAGGAAUUUAAUUUCAGUAGCUUGUUUGUCAAAGCAAGGGUACACUGUAAAUUUUGGAUCCUCUGUUUCUAUUUUUCAAAAUAAGAGACUUAUUUGUUCUGGUACAUUGGAAGAUAAUUUAUAUCAUUUAAGUCCAAUGAUCCAUUCUAUGCAUGACACAGUGAUAAAUAAUGAUGAGCAUACACACUUAUCUAAGAAAAGAAAUAUUUCUUCCAACCAAUGUUACCUCUGGCAUUUACGCUUGGGUCAUAUAAACCAAAAUAGGAUACAGAGAAUGAUCAAAGAUGGGCUCUUGGGUCCAUUAGAAAAUGAAUCAUUGCCACUCUGUGAAUCCUGUUUAGAAGGGAAAAUGACCAAAAGGCCAUUCUCGGCCAAAGGAGUACGUGCAACAGUACCACUUGAAUUGGUACAUACAGAUGUAUGUGGACCAAUCAAUGUACAAGCUCGAGGAGGUUAUGAGUAUUUCAUCACUUUUACUGAUGAUUACUCAAGAUACGGUUAUGUUUAUCUGAUGCGUCAUAAGUCUGAAGCUCUUGAGAAAUUCAAAGAGUAUAGGGCUGAGACAGAAAAGCAAUUAGAUAAGAACAUAAAGAAACUUCGAUCUGAUCGAGGUGGUGAAUUUCUCUCAGGAGAUUUCAAAGAGUAUCUGGUUGAAAAUGGGAUUAUAUCUCAAUUGACUGCCCCGGGAACACCACAACAAAAUGGGGUAGCUGAAAGAAGAAAUAGAACUCUUUUGGAUAUGGUGAGAUCUAUGCUUAGUUAUUCGUCAUUACCAAUCUCUUUUUGGGGAUUAGCACUGGAAACUGCAGUUUACCUUUUGAACUUAGUUCCAUCUAAGUCAGUGCCUAAAACCCCAAUAGAAUUAUGGUCAGGUCGCAAACCAAGUUUACGACAUGUCCGUAUUUGGGGAUCACCAGCACAUGUGCUGAAACCAAAGGCAGACAAAAUGGAUUCACGUUCUGAGGUUUGUAUGUUUGUGGGGUAUCCCAAAGGAACAAGGGGAGGUUUAUUUUAUAGUCCUCAAGAUAGGAAAGUGAUAGUGAGCACACAUUUCACUUCCCUCGAGGAAGACUAUAUGAAUAACUUCAAACCUAAGAGUAAGGUAAUACUUGAAGAACUGUCAGGUGAUCAGGUUGAUGCUCAGCUUUCAAUGCCUGUUACAGAACAGGAAGAACAGCAACAACCAGAUGAUCAACACAGGAUUAACCCUGAACAACCAUCACUUUUAGAACCUCGUCGUAGUGGGAGGGUAACUAGGUUACCUGCGAGAUACAUGCUUUUGGGAGAAACCUAUAUGGCUAUCUCAGAUGAACAUGUACAAGAUCCCACUAGUUACAACGAAGCUCUAAUAGAUAGAGAUGUUGAAUUUUGAAAAAGGCCAUGAAUCAAGAAAUGGAAUCUAUGUAUUCCAAAAAAAAAGUCUGGGAACUUGUAGAAGCGCCAAAUGGGGUAAAACCUAUAGGGUGCAAGUGGAUCUACAAGAGAAAAAGAGGAGUAGACGGAAAUGUGGAAACAUUUAAAACAAGAUUAGUAGCCGAAGGGUUUACUCAGAAAGGAGGAAUCAAUUAUAAGGAAACCUUUUCUCCGGUUGCUAUGCUUAAAUCCAUCAGGAUUCUGCUCUCCAUUGCUGCAGUGCUAGAUUAUGAAAUUUGGCAAAUGGAUGUCAAGACUGCCUUUCUUAACGGGCAUCUUGAAGAAAACAUCUACAUGCAGCAACCAGAUGGAUUUAUACAAAAAGGCCAAGAACACAUGGUAUGUAAGUUGCAGAGAUCAAUUUAUGGAUUGAAGCAAGCAUCCCGGUCAUGGAACAUCAGAUUUGAUCAAGCGAUAAAAUCGUUUGGAUUCAUUCAGAACAUUGAUGAACCAUGUGUGUACAAGAAAAUUCAAGAAAAAUUUGUAACCUUCCUAAUUCUUUAUGUAGACGAUAUUCUUCUAAUUGGAAACGAUAUAGGAGUGUUGACUACAAUAAAGAGUUGGUUAGCAGAACAAUUUGAUAUGAAAGACCUGGGAGAGGCAAGUUAUAUUCUUGGUAUCAAGUUACCACGAGACCGGAAGAAUAAAACUUUAGCCUUGUCUCAAGCGGUCUAUAUCGAUAAGAUAUUGGCUAGAUUUAGCAUGGAAAAUUCCAAGACUGGUUUAUUACCAUUCAGACAUGGAAUUACAUUCUCUAAGGAUCAAUCACCUAAAACAUCUGAAGAGAUAGAGAGAAUGAGACGAGUUCCCUAUGCAACACCUGUGGGAAGUCUCAUGUAUGUCAUGCUUUGCACUAGGCCAGACAUCUGUUUUGCGAUAGGGAUGGUUAGUCUAAUCCUGGACCUGAACACUGGACUGCGGUCAAGCAUAUAAUGAAGUAUCUGAAAAGAACUUAAAAUUAUAUGCUUGUGUAUUCUGGUGAUAAACUUAUUCUAGUGGGUUAUACUAAUUCUGAUUUUUUGUCAGAUAAGGAUUUUAGAAAAUCAACUUCCGGCUAUGUGUUUACAAUGGGAAGUGGAGCUAUUAGUUGGAUGAGUGUGAAACAAUCUUGUAUCACAGACUCAAUAACUAAAGCUGAAUAUGUGGCUACAUCUGAAGCUGCAAAGGAAGCUAUAUGGCUCUGCAAGUUCCUACGAAAUCUUGAGGUGGUACCUGUUGUAACUGCACCCCUUAAACUAUUAUGUGAUAAUGGUGGUGCGGUAGCUCAAUCUAAGGAACCAAGGAACCACAAGAAACAAAACAUAUUGAAAGGAAGUAUCAUCUUAUAAGGGAAUAGUGUAGAAAGGUUAUAUGACAGUACCCCAAAUGGUAUUAGAUGCUAAAUGACAGAUCUUAUUACAAUGGCCAUUAGUGGGAAACCUUUAUAACCUACACUUAGAGCCCUAGAGCAUGUGCAAUAUGCCAGAUAUGCUUUGAGAGCUAGUGGGAGAUUGUUGGGAAAAUAUGCUCUUUAAAAGCAUAUGUGUUUAUUUAAUUGUAAUAAACAUUUUUUCUGAUUAAUAAAAUAAAUGAGGUAUUUUAUUCAAAUAUCUUAAUUGCAUUAAUAUUUGUAUUAAAGUCCAUUUAAUCAUAUUAUAUGUAUUUAUGUGAUCACUAUGUGGAUUCACAGAAGACAUAAAUACAAGUUAUCUUAUGAUUAAAUAAAUUUAGUUCGCAGUUGAUAAAUAAAGUUGGGCACUUUAUUUAGGUAUAGACUGUAAUAAAUUCAUUGAAUGAUUUGUCUUAAUCAUGUAUGAAUUUAUUGAUGUAGUACGACUACAUUGAACAGGAUCACAUAUGAGAUUUAAUUAACUUUGUAAUAACUGUCAGACUUAUUAAAUCUCAUAGGCGUUGAUUUUACUGUAAUCUUAAUCUUGAGUUAAUUAUGAUUUCAUGAUUGUGAUUGUUAUUUCAUUUGAGUUACCAAUGGGCACGACACAUCCUUGUGGUCAAGAUUACCCGGUAUCUUGGUGGGAGCAAUUAUGAGUAUUGGAGUUAUGGAUUAACAAUAUAGAAUUUGUACAACACAUCUCUUGAUAGGUUUUCGGUACUUGAUCAUAAAAUUCUCUGGCCAGAGUGUAUCAACAUAUUUAGUAUGUUGAAAAUGAUCAUUAGAGAAAACCAGUAAGGAUCAAGGAAUAAGAUGUUAUUAAAUUGAUUGGACAGUUGAGAUAUCAAUUUAAUUAACGAUGUGGUACAAAGGAUUGUGUAGUAAAGAAAUCAAUGUGGCUUGGGACGAAUUAUUAUUCGAGCAUACAAUUAUGGAAGUCAGUUCCAAUCUUUUAGUGGAGUAGAUUUGGAAUUAAAUAAUUGGGCUAGUUUAAUUACAGGCCUAAUUAUUGUAGCCACUAUUGUAUGUUCCCAAAUGAUCCCCGGGUUAGCUCAUUUAAUUGACUGCACCACUACUGGACUAAUAAGUAAGAUAACUAGCUAUUUGGGUCAAAAGCCUAAAUAUAUCAUUUAGUGGGAGGCUCCAUUUAAUUAGCUUUUGUAUAAGGGGCCUUAUGUUAUUUUACAAGGUGGGUCCCCUAUUGAAAAAGAAAAUAACGUGAGUUUUAUGAAGGGUAUUACUAGGAGCCUAGGGUUUUCACUAAAGGGUGAUAUAAAAGGCUUAUUUUUCCCAAAAGAAAAAAGAGAAGCCACUUUAUACAAAUCAGAGAAUAAGAUUUUUCUCUCCAUUGUUGAGAGAAAAAUUUUCUCGUGCUAGUUGCUUUGGUAGUGAUAAAGGCGCCCACACGUCAAGUGCAGAUCGAACCUGAGUCAUAACCUGGAAGAUCAUAGGAGACAGUUCGUGAUCUAACAAGCGUGGUGGUGACGGAUCGUGAUCUAACAGGAGUGGUGGUGGCGGAUCGUGAUCUAGGAGCCUAAAUCACUUCAGCGGAAAAAGCAAACUCAGAUUUACAAGGUACGAUUUCUAGAAUACGAAUUCUUAUAUAUUAUAUGAGAGCGAUCUUCAAAAGGUUUUAUAAAAAAUUAAAAAUCUAAUUUUUCCCCAACAAAAGGUUUGUCCAUUUUCCUUUUUGCUGCAAUUCUGCAUUCUCAACGAAAGUAGUAUAGCAGUUUAUGCAGGCUUUCUACAUUUUUUUUUUUUCAGUUUCGGAGGAUUUGGUGGCAAAUUGAAAAGGAAACAGAGCAAGGUUACAACGUGCUACUGCAUGAUUUAUUUAUAUCUGGACACUAUUUUAAUGAAAAUACGAAUCUUGGCUAAGCAUUGUUCUCAAAUGGAACGCGAGUGAGAAAAGACAGCUGUUAGGUUCAUCAAGUCAACAAUUCUAUUAAUCUUUGCAAUACAUCAUUGCAUAUAUUUGCAAAUGACUUAAUGACAAAAUCAGUCAGCUGUAAAUUGUUAAAUCGUUUGUGUUUGAUUCAGAGCUACAUCAUCUGAAAGAAUCCUUUGGUCCUUCAAAUGAGUUGAUCAUCUCCCUUCAACGUAGCAACCAACGUAAAACCAUUAACAAUGGUACCUUGUCUAGCACACUGCAACAAGAAGCACAAUUUUUAGCUUCUUACAACUAUGAGAAGAACACUUUGUGGGGAAAACAGGCAAGUAAUAACCUCUGGGAAAACAUUGGGAUGCCGUUAAUAUUAUUAAGCAGAUACUGAUUAUGUCAUUGAAUCUUUGCUUUUGGUUUCAAACCAGAUAGGAUACUUGUACAAAUCUCUGAUAGAAGAUUAUUUUACCGGAUUGAUUUUGCACUGCAAAGGAUGGAAAUCCGUCUUUUGCAAUCCAUCACGGUCAGCAUUCUUAGGAAGUGCUACAUCAAGUUUGAAUGACACAUUGGUUCAAGACACAAGAUGGAACUGCGGUUUGCUUGAAGUCACCUUCUCAAAGUGCUCCCCUCCUCUUUAUGGGCUAUCAAGAAUGCCUUUGCUUCAAACAAUGUGCUAUAGCUACUAUGCUUUGCAGCCAUUCUAUUCCUUGCCGUUGUGGUGUUUAGCUUCUGUGCCUCAGCUGUGUCUCAUAAAUGAAAUUUCCUUGUACCCAAAGGUAACCAUUUCUAAAUCUAGAUUAGGAGGGAAUUUGGAAAUGCUUUGUCUUAUUGAUAUGUCUAAAACAUUGUAACUAUUUAUUUCUCUUCUACUCAGGUUUCAAGUCCAUGGUUUGUGAUCUUUUCAUCUAUUUUCUUAUGUUCACUACUGAAACAUUUGGUGGACGUUCUCGUCACCGGUGGUUCAGUCCAGACGUGGUGUAAUGAACAGAGGAUUUGGAUGAUAAAAUCACUCACUUGAAAUGUUUUUGUAUGAAACAACCUAGUUUCUCGCCCACAAAUAAACUUUCCGAUGAUGAACAAGUCAAGUUACACAAAAUGGGUAAAUUCAACUUCCAAACCUCAACCAAGUUUCUUGCUCCUUUAGCUACCCUAGUCAUGUUGAAUAUGAUUGCUUUUAGUGGAGGAAUUGCUAGAAUGGUGAUUUCGGGGGGCGCAAACGAGUUGCUUGGACAAGUUAUCCUCUCAUUUUACAUCUUACUGGAGAGUUACCCAAUAAUUGAAGGGAUGGCAUGGAGGAAGGAUAAAGGGCAAGUCCCAGCUUCUGUUGGGUUACUCUCUUUUGUUCUCUCCAUCAUUUUCUUGCUUUUGGGUUCCGUGGUUCUCAGGUUAAUUUGAAUUGUGCUAGAGGUUCAGAAUAAAAGCGAAAGGUCACAAUUAUGUGCUUCAUUUUUGAAAUAGUUAAUGCCCCCAUUAACUUCUUAUUGCUUUCAAAUGAUGCCGAUAAAGGCAACAGCCCUGUUUCACAGGAUGACCUAAUAAGAACAAAAUUGCAAAAUACUGGCACCUAUUGCUUAAUUGAAGGUCCUUGCGCUUGUUCAUGACACACUUAAGCUCAUUGACUGGGGGCACAAGAAAUUUCGAUACCUUGCAUAUCACCACUUAAUUUUGUUAAUUCAAAUUAAUUCUUGUUCCUUAUGCUGAAGUACAAACGAUUUAUAUUAACCAUUCAAUCAUUUUUCAUCUCUAAUUUCACCAUUUCACCAUUUCAUUUGGAAACAAUUUCACUUUAUAUUAACACCAAGUGCCCUUUUUUAUUCAAUUGAAUAUGCCACUCACAAUGCCCUUUCGUAAACAACCCAAUGCCCGAAAGAUUACAUCUCUCCUUGCUUCCAACGUACUGCAGCAAGAGACCGAAGUUUUAGCCUCCUGCAGUUACGAGCAUCAAACAAAAUGGGGUAAAGAGGCAAGCAACAAGCACAUCAUCUUAUCAACUUAAACAUAGUCAAGUCUUAAUUGCAUUACUAAAUCAUUAUCACAUGCCAUCACAUUACAUCUCUCCUUGCUUUCGAAAUCAGGUGGGUUUUUCGUAUCAAGCUGUUUCGGAAGAUUUCUUUAAUAGCAUUCUAUAAGAGAGAUUGUAUCAUUUUGAAGUUUGAAAUUUUGGAAGAAAACGGCUAUUGAAAUACUUUAUUUUAUUUUAAUAAUUAUGUUUAAACAUACCAAUUAAAAGAUAGUGUUAAGUGAUGCUAAUAUUAUCAUAUCGAAACAUCACGGUCUAUGCAAUUUAUUAAAUUUCAUCACUCAUACUCUUAAACUAAAUAUCAUCUCGGUCAAUAAAAUGAUGUCAAGUUAAACCUCUAUCUAUGUUAGGACAAUACAAUUUGUUAAUAUGAAAGAUCUAAAAGAGUGACGAUUGCUAUCAAUUAUGCCAUUACUGAAGUUAAAUCAUCAAAAGAAGUCUCAUUGUUCAAUUCCCUUUUCAUUAUUCUAAUCUAAGAAGCUCGAUCAAAAUUUAAUCAAUAAAAAUAAAUCAAAAGUCUAACAAAUUUUUACAAUUGUAAGGUUCUCACCAUUAGGUUAGUUGUUAUUGUUACUCCUAUUUAGAACCUAAGGUUGUUUAAGCAUAUUUUAGGUAUUAGAUGUUUUAAGUCCCCUCCUUCCAGACUUGGGAUUCUUAGAAACAACAAAAUAUGAUAAUAUUAUUGAAAAUAAGGGAAUUGCUAAAAGAUUAGCCUCUUUUGAAUGGUUUGGUUCUCAAUACAAGAUGUGAAGAAUACAAUGGAUAAUUACUUCAAAAUAGAGUGGAAGGAUCUUAAUAUAAUAAAAAAGUAACGCAAAGUUAUACUUUCUACCAUAUUGGGUAGUAAAAGGAUGAUAAUGAAAAUAAUUGGAUAGACACUAAAUAUAUAUGAUAUUUAUUCCUAUAUAAGAGACAAUUAAGUCUAGUAUGAAAGUUGGAAGUGUAACGGUGGAACAUACAUGUGCCCUCAAAUUGAGGGCACAAUUUCUUACCACCAUUAUUAUCUUAGACAUUUGAAUAAAGAAAAAUGAUAUUUGAGUAUUAAGAAGACAUUGCAAAGAUAGAAAGGACAGCUUUAUAGCAUGAACAAUAGCACUGUUUUUAUCUUCUUAGGCCAUGUUUGAAUGCUAGGAUUAAGUAAGAGAUUGAACUAAUUUUGAAAUUAAAUAUUUAUUUCAUAUUUGGCAAGCAGAGUUGGAUCGAACUAAGGAGGACUAAAUUUAAAUUUAGUCUUCAAAUCGUGAGAUUUGUAAUCUUAAUAUACUCAUGGAUUUAUUAGAAUAAAAUUAAGGAAAAAAGAAAGUUGUCCAUUUAUAAAAGUUUCAUUCAUAACAUUAUUUUUUAUUUAUACCGAAUAUCAAUCAAUCAAAUAAUUAAUUAAUUUUUUUUAUUUAUGAUUUACUUAAAAUUUAUUUUUUUAUUUAUUAUCUAUGAUCUAAUUAAAUUGGUAGUUUUACUUCUACUAGAUUAAAUUUUCAUUACUUGCAUUUAAUAAUUUUUCUAUAAAAUUAACCACUUAAUAAUUUAUUGCAUUAUUGAUUGUAAUAAAUUUAAUAAUCACUAAUACAAUACUAAAUUGAUCUUUUCACACUUUUAGUAGAUAAAUUAAAAAUUGUCUCUAAGUAGGGGUACCCUUUCUCAAAUCCUUUUUAGAGUUGACCAUGGCGAUAAAAUGGAGAGUUAAGAGCAUAACAAAGUCAAGAAAUAAAUGAAAAUAUAUUAAAAUUUGAUGUUGAAGAUCAGCCUUAGGACAUAAAAUUACACAGCACAGAUCUAGGCUCUUGAAUUUCAUACGACUCGUCUUUUCUGAAGUAUAAAUAUAAAUAAGAGACUAUGUAAAAUUUCUAGAUAGGGCCAAUCAAAGAGACAUCAAAUUUAAGGUUGAUUUAUAAUUAAUUAAUUAAUGCUUCGUUGAACUUACUUUAAACAUAAAUCAAGGGGUAUGUAGAUUACUUCAGUGAAUACAAUAAAGGAUGAGAAACUCACAGUAUAUUUUGUGUUCAUUUCCUUUGGUGAUUCACAUCCUUAUCUCGCAUUAUUCUCGAUUGUUCUUGGCCCAAGCCUUCUAGAGGCUCUCAUGUCAACCUCAUUUGCAGCAAAUCUUCGAUUACGGUUUCCCCGCCAAAACCACUUCUAUGGGGCAUUCUGUCGAACACCUAUGGACAUAUAUCAAACACCAUACUUUUAACUGUUACUAAUGUUGUGUAUGAUACAAUAAGCAUGGCAACCACAAAUUCAAUUGCUUUGCUCUUGUUGAAAAUAAGAAAGAACUGCAAACAGAGCUUGCACCAUCGUUAGGAGAAGUAUGGCAAAAGCAGCAAGAACGGAGAUGAUUGCCCACGGAGUGUUGAAAUAAUUGUGCCUCAAAUUGGCCAUCCACUUAUUACGACGCCUGCUGCGAUGGAAGUUCACUUUGUUAAAUACCUCCCAGUAAUAGAACUGCUUACCGAGUACAGCACCAUCACCAAGCUUGUGAAUUAAGGUUACAAUCACUUCAUCAUCUCCUAAAAAAUUAUCAAUUAUUCCACGAUGACGAAGUAAUUCAGCAUCCUUUGAAGAGUUGAUGAGGCAGCCCAACAAUUCAACAUAAUCUAUUACAUGCUUCGGAUUUAUGUCUUGGGAACACUGCUCAAAUGUAAUGAGAUUCUGAAAAAUGGUUUCUGUAGCAUCAGUAAUUUCCAGGGAUGGGAUCAUCAUUACCCCAUUUUCGAACUUAAUGUCGAACAAGGAAUCAUCCUUAUGGACCUCAAACAUCUGGAACUGGAUUCCAGCCUCUUGAAUGCCAGUGGCAGAACAAAUGAAGCUCCAGUCACUAUUCUUUUUGCCAUUAUUCCGAAAUGCUUCAAUGCCUGAUGGAAGCCAGUUGUCGUGUAUCAAAUGGACUAGAUGUUUGAUUUCAUUUAUGGGAUAGAGAUUAUCUCGACGAACAGUAUCUUUUCGACAGCCCUUUCCUGGUAAUAUGCCAUUGAAAAAACGCAGGAUCAUGAGAAGAAAUUUAUCACUAUCUUGAUCAUUAGGCAUCUUAGUCAUGGUAAACAACUCCCAGAGAACAAAAAAUGGAAGUUGAUUCUCAAGCAAAAUCAUAUCUCGUGCUAUGGAAGGUAACAUCCAACUCAGUUCAAAAAUUGGGUCAUUUCCUCUCAAACGUGUCAAUGCAAACUUACGAAUAACCUCAACGAUAAAACAACCAUCGAGAAGCAUCAUUAGCACAAACUUAUCUGUCUCUAAACUUAGGGACCCUCCAUAACAAUUUUUAGCUCUUUCUUCCAUUGCCCUCAUGGCUAUGACAUAGUCUGGCAAAGGCUUGCUCGUACGGUCUAGAAGUUCUCUGAGAUAGCGUGUUUUGUGCACCUCAAAGGUCGAUAAUUCUUCUUUACCGUGAUGAUAAGGACCAAUUGCUAGCAUUUUUGGUUCAUAAGCCUUUUCAUUUAACUUACGCAGUACAUCAGGCACCUUAAAAAUGUUGAACCGAUCAGAUGGUGUAGCAGUUAGACCACUAAGCUUUUCCUCAACAAGAUGAAGUACUGUGUCAGCUGAUGGACUUGCCAUGCCUUGAUCUGCAUUUUAAGUCGCAGGAUCAAAAUUUCAAAAAUGUUGAAAUCUGUAUUAUCCAUAAUUGUUGACAACCACAGAAGACAUAAGUACUUGAAUUUUUCAUAAAAGCUACUAUGAUUGUCAGGAAUUAUGUUUGAAUUUUAAUAAAUUCCGAUGUGUACUAGCUAACACCUAGUGAUAGAUAAUAGUUUCGACAUCUAAGAAUUAUAGUUACAGCACUACUUGCACAACAGGAGGGAGUGAAACAAAAUCAUCAAUAUUCAACAAUAACCCAUUAAUAGAAUGACCAAAAACAACUCAAAAAGUUAUAUAUCUGUUUCGAUUUCAAUUCUUUAUAUCCUUAUUAAUAGUUCCUACAGCACUAAGCCAGAUCAUGGAUCUCCACUGUCACACGACUAAAGAAACUAAGCAGAAUUCACACGAAGUCGAUUAAUGCUUCAGAGUUAUAAGAUAUAUAUUAUUCUAAACAAUUUUGUAAUUAACUUACUCGUUUGAAGGCUACCGUUCCUAUUGCUUAACGAGAUCGCAAUCUUACCGGUGCAAUGACGAAAUCCCAGUCUUGCCGUUGCAAGGAAUUCGAUCCUUUGUUUUCUUUUGAUGAAAUAAAGUAGAAUGUUUACUAAUAAUACAAAGGAGACUAUAAGAAGACUUCGUUAUUUCUCACUCGCUGAUUCUAGAUUCGACAUGUGUCCCAUAACAUAUCUUUUAUAUUUACGGAAAAGCACACUCGUAUUUUUGUCUACAUCUUUCUCGUAUAAACAGUAUAUGUGUUAGAUCAACACGGGAUAUAUUUUAUAUUAAUUAUAAAAUAGAAAGAUCCUUUAUCUUUUGCAUCAUUAUUUUAAUAAAAAAUACUAAACGCAGGAAAUAAUGAGAGAAUACCGAAAAAAACGACAACUUAUGCUGCCAUUUCAAGUGCUCUCUCACCAUUCCCCCACAUGACCCACACUUUUCCUUCUUCUUUUUUUCACUUUGGCACACGUAAACUCUACUCCACUUAUUCUUUUGUUCUCUCCCCACGCGAACUCCACUUUCCUUUUUACUCAUCUUUUUCCCCCACUUUCCCUUUUGCCAAAGUUGCUUCAACAAAGCAUCACCAGUUAAGGAGUCAGCCCGAAGAAGCUCUUCCCCAGUGUGUAUCCUGAAACAAACAACACUAUCAUCAACACAAUAAACAAAAGAAAAGGCGAAAGUAACUGUUUGAAAUAUGAAGUUUGCAGAACAAAGGAGGUUUAGAGUCAAAUCUGUAACUUCGACUAAUUCCUCUCACUCCUCUCCCCCUCUCGCUCUGUUUUUCCUCUCACUCCAGCAGCAGCUUUACCAAUUCUCCGUCUCCCCUCUCGCUCCAGCUGCAGCUUCGUCUCCAUCUCCCCUCUCGCUCCUACACCUCUCGCUCGCUACUCAUCUCCCUCGUGCGCUACUACUCCAGAUCUACUCGGUGGUCGCUGUUCUCAGUGGUCGGCUGUCGCUGCUCGGUGGUGCUGCUUGCUGGUCCUCGUCUCCCUCAUCUCUCUCCAUCUCACUCUCUCCGUUUGGUUUGUAAUUAUUUUUUGAUAAUUAAUUUUUUAUAAUUGUUGAUAAUUUUAUCAGGCAAUUAUUUUGUUCAGUGAUUAUUUUAUUGGGAAUUAUUUUGGUAAUUGUAUUGUUGAUAAUUAUUUUUUGAUAAUUACUUUUUGAUAAUUAUUUUUGGAUAAUUGUUGGUAAUUUUGUAAGUAAUUAUUUGGUAAAAAUUGUCUAUUAGUGAAAAUUGUUAGAUUAAGUUUGAAAAUAAUUUUGUUAGUAAUAAUUUGUUGUUUUUUAUGGCAGUUAAAGUAGUGUAAUAUUGAUAAUGUCAUCUAGCGCAAAAGAAAGUUGAAAUUCACUGUAAAUAUAUAAUGAAUGUGGUGGCCAAAUUGAGCUAUUAACAUCAAGUGAGAAAGAAAUCAAAUCGUAAAAUUUAGAAAUGUAAAGUAUGCAUAAACUUUCAAUUGUUGUCUUCGUUACGUUUUGAUGUAGCAAAUAUUGAAAAUUUUUACUUUCAGAUCCUUCGUACGUCAUCAAAUAAUAAGGAUAAUGUGGUUGUAAAGUAUAAGGAGUGGUUGUUGUAAUACAUAAAAAAUUAAAAUAUAAUAUGAGAUUUUAAAAAUUAAAAAAUAUAAGCAUACACUAACAAAUUGUGAUUUUCAAGUGAAAAUUUAUUUGGUGCUAAUUAUAAGAAAAUGAUUGAUAAAUAUUGUGUAAACUACCUUAAGUUGGAUAUAUAAAUACCUACAUAAAUAUAUAUAUAUAUAUAAUUGGAUCGUGCUUGGUUUGUUUUAAAUAAUCUUUACCAAGUUUGUUUAUGGAAUUCUUUGGAACAUACAAUGAUCAAAUAAAUUUAAACGCGGUUGGUCAAUUUUUAUGUUUGAUAUGGUACUUUGCGUUGUUAUCUGAGGAAUCGCUCCGGCUUAGCUAUUUUAAAGCCGAUAUUUAAUAGCGCUUUGGACCAGUAGUCCGCAUCCUCGAGUGUCCAGCUUAUAUACCAAAAUCAAUUAUUUCUUUACCAAAUAAAAUUAAGUUGCUUUAAACGUGGUUGGUUCUUUUUAUUGUGCUAUUACCAGAUUUAGAUUAGAUUCUUUUAAAGGCUUGGGUACAUACACAGUACCAGAUCCGGAACCCGAAAAUGGUGCUCUGAAGGAAUGGAGGGAGAAGAGAAGAUUUACAACUGAGGAUCGAGAUCCGGUCUCUUUGCCUCAGAGGAACGUACAAAUUUUAUGGCAGAUCUGAUAAAGACCAGUCUGCAAUCAUGCUUUGGAAAGAAAAUUGCUUUAAAAAAUAAAUUGCUGGAAUUUAAAUGUGCAUAAAAUUAAAUUACAGAAAAGUAAAUUGCAGAAAUUUAAAGUACUGAAAUUUAAAUGUACAUGAAAUUGAAAUUGCUUUAAAUGAAUGGAAUUUAGAUGCUUUACAUUUAUGUCUUUUGAUCCGACAGCUUUAGGAAUGGGAAAUCGGAAAAUAGUCUGAAAACGAGGAACUUAGGGAAAAUUCCUUGAAUCCAGAAGAUUUUCUUUAAUCCGAGAGAGAGAGAGAUUUUAGAGAGAAGGAAGAGAAGGAGAGAGAGAAGUUCCAAACUGAAAUCAAAAACCUAAGGAGUCUCAGUCUUCCUCUUGGUUUAUAUACAAAACUUUGUGAACUGUUCACUGUAGCGGAGCUUUGAGUGCACAGUAAUCUUUGGAUCGUAGCUUUGAAUAGUAGGCUGACCGUAGCUUUGAACAGAAGACUACUUUGUACAAAUACUGAAAUACAUAAUACAACACGGGUGAAGAGACAUGUGCGCUCUCACUUGUGUCCAGGGGACCACCCGAAAUUUUUUUUUUUUUUAAGUAAAUAAUCAAAUAAUUAUUUACAAUGCUUUACUGGAGAGAAAAUGCCGAAACAGUCAUCUUCGUUUUCGUCUCCAAGAGAAAUGAAGGGCUCUUCAUCUUCAUCAUUAUCUUCAUCUUCAGAGGAGUCUGCAGCUGAAGACUUUGAUCUUGAGGCGAGGAGCUGUUCCAUGGCUUUGAAAUAUUCAUCUUCAGUUUUGGCGCUUGCCAAAAGAGACUGGGCUUUGGAUUUUUGAGUUAAGAAUGUGUGUUGGGCUUUAGAGGCGGUUAAGGAAGGUUGAAGGAGGCUUUUGGAGGAGAGCCAAUCUUUGAUCAUAUUAACAGUCAAUUUGGACUGUUCAUCAAAUUUUGACCACCAUUUGACUUUAAAGGUUCUUUGAAGGAUGACCUGGGAUUCUUGGGUGAGGAAACGGAGAUUCCACAUCCAGACCCAUGGUAGGAAGAAGUUUGCGCAAAAACAGAGAAAGGGGGGAAAUCUUUUCUCUGAGUCAGAGGGUAUAUAAUGGGCUUUAAAGAGGUUUAGGCAAUUUGUGGCGUUUGGUGUUAGGAUUUGUGGAGUUGGGCCAAAGAAAUUCCACCAAUGUUGAAACCAAUUUGGGAGGCUUUGAACGGUUAUUUUCGUGUUGAAGAAAAAUAACCAUGAAUGGGAUUUUUUAGGGUUUUGGAUAAAAAAAGGUGUUAUACCAGGCUUGUUGGUAAUCCCAGUAGGAAAAAGUCCGACAAUGUGGUAAACGGGUUUCAAAAUUUAAAGGGAAAGUUUUAAAAUUGUGAAGUAGAUCACCCCACUGGUUUGGGCUCAAUACUUUUAGGAUUGUGGCCGUGGAAUAAGCCGGCUCAGAAUGGGUUUUGUCAAGAAAGAAAUGUUUGAAUUUAACUGAUUCAGUUAUUUCCAAAAUGCUUUGAUAAUAAGACUGGGGUUUUGUCAAAUCCCAUGGUUUGAAAAACCAGCCUUUGGGAAAAAACUUUGAAAUGCUUUGAAAAUGAUCAGUAUGGUAAAAUCCAUCUUCCAUAGAAAGAAUGUUUUGAAAAUGGGUUUUAUCAAACCAAUCGGAGGUUUUCCUUGAAGGUGUUGGCUGAGAAAGCACAAUUUGGGAAGAUGAGCUUUCAGCAGAGACAACAACAUUUUGGGAAAAGGGUUUUGUAAUUUCUUGAGAAAUAGGUUUCUCAUCUUUAGUAGGGUUUUGGCUUUGAGAAAAGCUUUGUAGAGCAAGCAUAAGCUCAGGGGAUUUGGUAAUGGAACUCAUCCAUUGCUUUACUUGGUCAUCAGAGGAAAUAGAAUUGUAUUGGGCUUUAUGUUAUUCAACCAAUUCAAUCCAAGAUUUGAUGGGCAUGGCAGAAGAAAGCAAUUUUUCUUUGGAGGGAGUAGGUUGAGGUUCUUUAGAGGUUGCAUGUGAUUCAACAACUUUACCUUUGUCUUUCUUCUUCAACGGCAUUAUCUGUUUUGAAGAAAUUCUCUGGUUAGAAAAUCAGGAACAAAAUUUUUAUCUCCUUUAAUAAAUUCAAUAUCAAAAUCAAAAACACUUAAAAUAGCUUGCCAUCGUGCAAAAAUCUGUUUUGAUGCAAUAUUUUGAACAUCUUUUUCUAAAACAUGUUUUGCAGCUUUGCAAUCAAUUCUAAGUAAAAAUUUUUGAUUUAGUAAAUCACUUUGAAAUUUUGUAAUGCAUAAAACUAUGGAAAUGAUUUCUUUUUUGAUAGUAGAAUAGUUUUUCUGGCAAUCAUUCCAAUGUGCAGAAACAUACUGAACUAUCUGUUCUUUAUCAUUUUCUUUUUGUUUUAAAAUCCCUCCAUAACCUAUAUCAGAUGCAUCAGUCUCAACAAUCUUAGGUAAUGCAGGGUUAGCAAGAAAUAAACAUGGAAUGUUUUUUACAGAAUGCUUUAUUAAUCUAACAACUUUUGUAUGCUCAUCUGUCCAUGGAGCAGGUUUCUUUUUUAGUCUAUCAUGUAAUGGUCUAGACAUCCUAUUAAUGUUAGGACAGAAAUCAAGAACAUAAUUCAGACUUCCAAGAAAUCUUUGUAAUUGGGUUUUAUCGAGAAUUUUAUCAGGAAAUUUAUCAGCAAAUAAAAGAGAUCUCUCAAUCGGAGUAAUUGUUCCUUUAGAAAUAUGAUGACCAAGGAAUCUGACUUUUGUUUGAAAUAAAGAAACUUUAGAACUGGAAAUUGCCAAUCCAGCCUUUCUGGUGGCAAAAUAAAAAGUCUUUAAAUGUUUGAAAUGUUGAUCAAUUGAUUUGAAAAUAUCAAUACGUCAUCAAUAUAAACAAUACAAAAAUCAGAAUAAGGAUUAUAAAUAUCAUUCAUAAUUCUUUGAAAUUCUGAGGGUGCAUUCUUUAAACCAAAGGGCAUAACAGUCCAUUCAUACUGUCCAAAUGGAACAGUAAAAGCAGUUUUAUAACGGUCUUUUGGAUGAAUUUGAAUUUGCUAAAAACCAGAUUUCAUAUCAAAUUUCGAAAAAAUAAGAGCAGAACACAAUUUUUGGAGCAAAUCCUUUUUAUUAGGUAUGGGAUACCUAAUCCAUUUUAAAGCUUUAUUUAAGGGCUUAUAGUUAAUAACUAAUCUUGGGGUGCCUCUUUCAAUUUCAGAAUUUUUAUUCACAUAAAAGGCAGCACAAGACCACGGGGAUAUGGACUUUACAAUGAGUCCCUUUGACUCUAAAUCCUUUAUUUCAUUUUUACAAUGUUGUUCCAAUUCCAUAUUCAUCUGGAUUGGACGAGCUUUAGUGGGUAUUUGUUUUUCAUCAAAAGAACUUUCAUAAGGCAAAUCUACUAAAUGCUGUUUUCGAUUCCAAAAAGCAGAUGGUAAAUCGGCACAGAUUUCUUUUUCAAUAAGAUUCCUGAAAUCAGAGAUUUUUCUUUGAACAAAAUCACUUUGUAUUUGACUUUCAAUUCUUUGAAAAUUUAAAUCCUUUUGUAAAUAAAAUAAAUUAUCUUCUUUUGAAUGCAAUAUGGCAUUAACAUGAUUUUGAUAAAUAGAGCAGGCUUUAACAAUAUUUAAAUUUCUUGUUUUCGGUUUUUCAAUAAAUGGAAAAACAAGUCUUUGAUCUUUGGCUUUGAAAGAUAUACUGUUAUAAUUAACAGAAUAAGGAGUGAUAAGGUUAAUAAAAGGAGUUCCUAAAAUGACAGCAUGGUGUAUGUCAUUCGUAAGAACAAAGGAGGUUUUAAAUUCAAAACCAUUGUUAUGGAUUGAAGCUUCAACUUUAGAACUAACUUUGAGUUUUGAAUUAUUGGCGGCAGAAAGCCUUUCUUUUGUCUUUUCAUGAAAUCUUUUGGGGACGAUGUCCUCACGUAUGCAAUUUAAAUCGGCACCAGUGUCAAAAAGGGCAAUGGCGUCAAUAGCAAAAUCCUCAGAAAAAUUUAAAGAGAUUUUAAUUAAAUAUUUUCUGGUGGUGAUUUGCUUUAAAACAAAUAAAAAAUCAUUUGGUAUAGAUUCAAUAUUAUCAACAUUUUGAUCAUUAUUAUCACCAUCAGAAUCAACUUCUUUAUCAGAAUUGUCAUCCAAAUGCUUUUGUAAAAGGAGUUGGAUAGUAUCAGAAUCAAUUUUCUGUUUUUCUUUUAAAUCCUUGAUUUCAAGUUUAAUAUGCUUGAUUUCGUUUUGAAGAUCUUGGAUAGUGGGUGUUGACUUUUUUGUUUUCUUUUUAUCCAAAAUCUGAGUGAGAUCAUAAGAGCUCUUUUUAACAAUUGGGACUUUAGAAGUCUCGGCUUUGUUAAAAUCCAAAGUUUUCAAAAGUUUAUCAAGAUAUUCAUUUUGAAGAUUUGGAUCAGAAAUAUGCUUUACAAGUUCAAGAAAAGUUUCUUGGUCUUUGGUCAAAACAUUGAUUUUCUUUAAAAAUGAAUCGGAUUCAGAUUCACUACUGCUAGAUGCAGAGUCAUCUGAGUCAAAAAGCUCAUCAAUUUGAUAAGGGUCACUGUCUCCCGACAUGGAAGAUUCAGAGUCAGAAGACUCAACAAGAAGAUGGGCUAAUUUGGAAAGGAUUUCAUCAUCAAGAUCAAGCUCAUGAAGCUUUUUAUUCAUUCUGUAGUAUUUUGCAGUAUGACCUUUCAUGCCACAUUUAUGACAUAUAGCUUCUUUGUAAUUGAAAGGAGUGAAAGGAGGUUUUGGUUUGGCUUUGAACUCUUUUUUAGGGAACUUAGGCUUCUUAUAAGGCAUUGAAGGUUUCUUAUAAGGAAGUUCUCUAAAAUUACGAAAAGGUUUUCUAAAGUGUUUAGAUUUGUAAUGUUUCUUGCGAGGUUUAGUAGAACACUCACCAUUACAAUCUUUGGAAAUAGAAGUUUUAAAGGGGUCAUAAUUGAAUUGUUUACAGAAACCGCCUAAUUCUUGUUUAGACUUCUUAAGCUCCCACUUAAGUCGUUUCUGUAAUUUCAAAUCUUGACAAAUCUUUAAACCUUCUUUGUUGACAAAACUGACAAGUUCACCAUAGGUGAGGUCAUCAUAAGGAAUACGGUUGUCAUAAAGGGCUUUGAUUGAAUUUCUUACUUUUUCACCUAAAAGGGUAGGUAAUCCCGCAAGAAAUUUUUCUUUCCAAGUAGUAUGAUUUGCAUCAUCUCUUAGAAAUAGUCUGGUGAAAAAGGAGGUUUUGUAGCUUUGAAACUCACUAAGUUUCCUACAUCUUAAGUUAUGUAGUAGCUCAGCGUUUUUAUCACGGAGGUGUGAAGGGUCACCAAUGAAAUGGAGGAAAAUGAUCAAAAUGAGAGUAGCAACAGCAUCCUGGAUUGGAUUGUUGAACUCAUCAAGAAUAGGGGCUCCAUUUUCAUCGACUUGGAUAGAAUUUAGAAUGUCUAGUUGUUGCCGAUUAGUGAGAAGAUGAUCCCACCAACCCUUCAAUUGGCCAGUGAAACCGGCAAUGAGGAUUUCCGAUAUGGCACGAUCAGAAGUUCCUGCUUGGGUUUUAUAGGCAUUGGCUGCCAUGGUCAUUUGUUGCAACAAUCCUAGGAUAUUAUACUCGGACAUGCCGUCAAUAUUCCACUCAUAGACGGAAGAUGCAUUAUAUCGAGAUUGAUUUAAUGCACUUGGUCUAUUAUCUAUUGCUAGAUCCGGCGGAGUUUUGACAGUGGGAAGGGCUAAUUCCCAAUGGAUUUUGUUGGCUUUAGGAGUAGAAGGUUCUUCUUUGAAAGCUUCUAAGUCAGAAGAGGCUAUAGAACUCUGGUCAUCUAGAUCCAAUACUCCAAUCUUGCUAGAUUGGGGGGUAUCGGGGGCUAUCUGAAUUUUGCUAGACGAGGAAGAAGCAGCUUCUAUCCUAUCUAGUUGUUCUCUAAUGGCUUUAGUAAAAUCUGAUUUUGACUCUUGAACAAGCCUUUGGCUAGUUUUCGAAACCUGAAAAGGUUUGAAAAUAGGUUCCUUAAGCUUUUUGUCAAAAUCCAUUUUCGUUUGAACAGUAGCUGAUGAAACAGUAAUGGUUGACUUUUGGAAUUGGUUUUCUAUCCUAGUCAACUGCUUUCCGAUUGUAUUUAAGUUAGUAUUACAGAAAUUAUUAUGUUGGAUAAUACUACUUAAAUUCGUCUCGGAAUCAUUUGGUUUUGGAAUUUUGUAAGGUGAUGCUCUAAUUUCAAUAGGAGGCUCACCAUGAUUUAUGGUUAUACUCCUAAGAGGUGGGUGCUCAGAUUCGAUGGAUCUAUCACUCUCAGUAAGAUGCCACUCAGAGGUUUUCUUUCUAACAGUAAUAGGGUUUGACUCUUUGAAGGGAUAAGAGAUGUUGUUCUCAGAAGAAUAUAUUUCGAACCAAUCAAAAAACAAUAUAUGAACUUGAUGAAGAUUCACAAAUUCAUAAUAGAUAUAUAUAUAUUGGUAGUUUAAAUUAUGUUCUCGAUUUUUGCCCUAACAUCAAUAGGAUGUCUAAACCCUUGCAUGAUAGAUUGAAAAAGAAUCAUGUUGCAUGGUCAGACGAACAUACUAAUUUUCACCAAAUAUUUUCUGGUGGUGAUUUGUUUUAAAACAAACAAAAAAUCUUUUGGAACAGACUUAAUGUUCUCAACUUUUUGAUCAAUAUGAUCAUCAUCAUCAGGAGUUGACUCAUUGUCUGAGUUAUCCUGUAAUUGCUUUUGUAAAAGAAGUUGGAUAGUAUUAGAAUCACUUCUUUGUUUUUCUUUCAAAUCCUUUAUUUCAAGUUUAAUAUCCUUGAUCUCCUUUUGAAGAUCUUGGAUACUAGGGGUAGAUUUCUUUGUUUUCUUUUUGUCUAAAAUCUCAGUAAGAUCGUAAGAAUUCUUUUUAACAAUAGGAACUUUAGAAGUUUCUGCUUUGUUUGAAUCCAUGGUUUUCAAAAGUUUGUCAAGAUAUUCAUUUUGAAGAUUUGGAUCAGAAAUAUGUUUUACAAGUUCAAGGAAAAUCUCUUGGUCUUUAGUCAAAACAUUGAUUUUCUUUAAAUAAGAAUCCGAAUCAGAAUCGCUACUGCUAGAUGCAGAGGUAUCCGAAUCAAAUAACUCAUCGACCUGGAGGGGGUCACUAUCUCCCGACAUAGAAGACUCAGAGUCAGAAGACUCUACAAGAAGGGGGGCUAUUUUGGAAAGGAUGUCCUCAUUGAGGUCAAGCUCUUGGAGUCUCUUGUUCAUUCUGCAAAAUUUUGCAGUAUGGCCUUUCAUACCACAUUUGAAACAUGUGGCUUCUUUGAAAUUGAAUGGGGUUUUAGGUUUGGUUUUAAACUCUUUCUUUUUAGAGAAACUAUGUUUCUUAUAAGGCCUCGAAGGUUUCUUAUAAGGAAGUUUCCUAAAAUCAUGAAAGGGUUUCCUAUGGCUUUUAGACUUGUAAUGUUUCUUGUAAGGUUUUGAAGAACACUUACCAUUACAGUCUUUAGAAGUAGAAGUUUUAAAGGGGUUAUAAUUGAAUUGCUUACAGAAACCGCCUAAUUCUUGCUUAGAUUUCCUAAGCUCCCAUUUUAGACGUCUCUGUAGUUUCAAAUCUUGACAGAUCUUUAAACCUUCUUUAUUGACAAAACUGACUAGUUCACCAUAGGUGAGCUCGUCAUAAGGAACACGAUUGUCAUAAAGAGCUUUGAUGGAAUUUCUAACCUUUUCUCCCAAAAGGGUAGGUAAACCUGCAAGGAAUUUUUCUUUCCAAGUUACAUGAUUAGCAUCAUCCCUUAGGAAGAGUCUAGUAAAGAAAGUGGUUUUGUAAUCUUGGAAUUCACUGAGUUUUCUACAUCACUUAGUAAUCUUGGAAUUCACUGAGUUUUCUACAUCUUAUAUUCCACUCAUAGACAGAGGAUGCAUUAUAUCGAGCUUGAUUUAAUGCACUAGGCCUGUUGUCUAUAGUUGACUUAGAAGCCUUUACCGAAGAACCUGUUCCUAAAGCCAAUAAAAUCCAAUGGGAUUUAGCCUCCCUAUUUCCAAAUCUCCACCAAUAUAAUAUAUAUAAUUAAUAAUAUUUUUAGUUUUAUAUAUUCAAAAUAAAAGAAAAGUUUAACAUAAAAAUACAUAAACUUACCAUUCAUUCUGAUGCCGUUUUCUUUCUCUUGUGAUAAAUUAUUUUUGCUUGAACAAUGAGCAAAUCAGUUCACGUGGAGGAGAGAGCAAAAGAAGAAGUGGAGCGGAGUUCACACGAGACCAAAGUGAAAAGAAUAAAAAAAUGUGGGCCAUGUGGGGAAUGCUGAGAGAGCACUUGAAAAUUAUAAAAACAGAGAAUAUGCGUUUGGUGGUGCUUUUUUCAAAAAUAGUUUUUAUUAAUCAUUUACAUUAUAUUUAUAGUUAUAAAAUAAUUAUUUAGCUAAUACACACAAAUACAACAAAAUAAUUUAACCAAUUUUAAUAUAAAAAAAUUACAUGAUAAUAAAGUUUAAGAAUUAACAUUAAUUAAAAAAAGUUUGACAUUGUCAUUGUUUUUACACUAUAUAAUUAAGAUAUAUAUUACAACACAUGAUUUAAACAAAAUAAUUAUAAAAAAAUAUAUGAUACACAUUAUGCAUUACGUAUGUAAUCAUGCCACAUAAAAGCUGCAAUUCCAUCUCUUGUAGCAUUCAUCUCUGCGACACUUGCUGGAGAUAAAUCAAUAUUAGUAAGUGGCCUACUAGUGUCUCCUUCAUCGUUGGUAACCAAAUCUUACACAUCAAAGCCCCCAAAUAACCUAUUACUUGCAUUUUCUCGUUGAAUAAAAUUAUGCAAAGCGCAACAUGCAAUUGGAAUUAGACGUUGCUCACGUAAACUAUAAUUAUUAUCGUUUUUUGGUUUUGCAGGAUCUAGGUUGACGAGAGGACAAGGAACAUUUUUUUGUAACUUUUUUUGUAAGGAAUCAAAUAGAAUAAUAAACAUCAUUGUUGUAUCAUAACUUUAUCCUGAAGAAUUAAUAAAAUAUUUACAUUAAAAAAAAAGAAAGAAAGAAAAAAGAAAAAAAAAACUGGGCAGGCAGUAAUUUACAAACAUUACCAGAAGCAAAGGGAAUUAAUGGAAUUGUGGAUGGGACAACUAGUCGGCGAACGCGGUGAGGAAGUAAUAUGCGUGUAAUUAAUUAAACGCGGAUUUGUAAAAUUUGUCUAAAUUUGUAAUGACAGUGAGGUGAUGAAAACACAGCGGCAGCAGCUGCAGCAGCAGCGAAUGAAGCAUUGUUUUCGUACGCGGCAGAAAACGCAAAACCAAAAAAUGAUAAUAAUCAAAGCGGUGGAGGAUCUAGCAGCAGCAGCAGCAGGAUCUACCAGCAGCAGCAACGAACUGGAAGAGCAGCAGCAGCAGCAACGAACUGGAAGUAGCUGGAGCAAAUACCAAGUGAAGACAGCAGCUGCAACAGCCGAGAUCGAGCAGCAGCAGCAACGGAUUGACAGAUCGAGUUAGAGGGAGAGAUAUGUGUUGUAGAUCUAGAGAAAGAGGAAGAAGAGAGUGAUAGUGAGUGCGGAGAGUUUAGAUCGGGGACUUUGGGAGCUGUUGAUGAAGAGAACACGAGCCGAGAUUUGUUCUGUAGUUUGUUCUUGAGUGUGAACUGUAAUUCAUUUGAAAACGCAUUAAACACGUUUUCAACUUUACAACUGGAAAGCUGAAUCCGGAUUUUUUGUUUUAUAAUUUGUUUCUGAGUUUAGCCCACCAAACAUGUUUUUCAAUUGUAUUUAUAAAACAAAAACGAAAAUAGAGGCUUGGAAACGGUACCAAACAGGCCCUAAGAUUCUAUGUCUUGGGUAGUCGUAAUCAAAGAAAUUUCCACAUUCAGUUUCAAGAGUCGCAUUCAACAAGUGUUCAUUAAUUUUGAAUAUUGGUUUUGCGGACACGGCUAUGAUACAGGGACUUUGAGUCCCUGUAUCAUAGAGGGGGUCAAUUUGUUGACCCCCUAGUUGGUUGGCUGCCAUCUGGCAGCCAAACAACUUUUAUGACUGGCAGCAACUGGUUUUCCAGCCGGUUGCUACCAUUAAUAUGUAUUUUUUUAAAAUAAAUUAAAAUAUAAAAUAUAAAUAAAUUUUAAAAAAUUAUAAUAAUAAUAAGGGAGCUGCUACCUUACAUUAAACGUAAGGUACAGCCUUCUCACUAGUGGUGGAUUUUAAUGGAGCCCACAGAUAAAUUAUGUGAGUGGUUGUACCAUACGUUUUACGUAAGGUAGCAAAAUCCUAAUAAUAAAUAAAUAAGGAUAAGUAAAGUAAAAAUAGAAAAAAAUAUUUUUUAUUAAAAAUAAUUUAAAAAACAAAGUAAAAUGUGUGUUAACAUAAGGACAAAAAUUUAAUUUAUUUUCUAUGAAAUAUAUCUCAUAUUUAACGUUUCAAGUUUCAUAUUUUAUGUUUUAUGUUUCAUGUAAUAAUUUUUUAAAUACCCCAAAAUUUUUCUUUCUUGCCCCCGUUUCAUGUUUACGUUCUACGUUUCAUGUUUGUUGUUCUACGUUUCAUGUUUGAUGUUGUAAGUUUACUGUUACAAACAUAGUCAUAUUUUAUGUUCGUUGUUGCAUAUUUUAAGUAAGAUGUUUUAUGUUUGUUGUUUAAUGUUUCAUGUAAUAAUUUUUCAAAUACCCCAAAAUUUUUCUUUCUUGCCUCUGUUUCAUGUUUACGUUCUACGUUUCAUGUUUAUUGUUCUACGUUUCAUGUUUGAUGUUGUAAGUUUACUGUUACAGACAUAGUCAUAUUUUAUGUUCGUUGUUGCAUAUUUUAAGUAAGAUGUUUCAUGUUUGUUGUUUAAUGUUUCAUGUAAUAAUUUUUCAAAUACCCCAAAGUUUUUCUUUUUUGCCCACGUUUCAUGUUUACGUUCCAUGUUUCAUGUUUGCUGUUCUACGUUUCAUGUUUGAUGUUCUACGUUUCAUGUUUGACGUUGUAUGUUCACUGUUACGAGGUACUCAUAUUUUAUGUUCGCUGUUGCAUAUUUUACGUAAGAUGUUUCAUGUUUGUUGUUUAAUGUUUCAUGUAAUAAUUUUUCAAAUACCCCAAAGUUUUUCUUUUUUGCCCCCGUUUCAUGUUUACGUUCCACGUUUCAUGUUUACUGUUCUACGUUUCAUGUUUGACGUUGUAUGUUCACUGUUACGAGGUACUCAUAUUUUAUGUUCGCUGUUGCAUAUUUUAAGUAAGAUGUUUCAUGUUUGUUGUUUAAUGUUUCAUGUAAUAAUUUUUCAAAUACCCCAAAGUUUUUCUUUUUUGCCCCCGUUUUAUGUAUACGUUCCACGUUUCAUGUUUGUUGUUCUACGUUUCAUGUUUGAUGUUCUACGUUUCAUGUUUGACGUUGUAUGUUCACUGUUACGAGGUACUCAUAUUUUAUGUUCGUUGUUGCAUAUUUUAAGUAAGAUGUUUCAUGUUUGUUGUUUAAUGUUUCAUGUAAUAAUUUUUCAAAUACCCCAAAGUUUUUCUUUUUUGCCCCCGUUUCAUGUUUACGUUCCACGUUUCAUGUUUACUGUUCUACGUUUCAUGUUUGACGUUGUAUGUUCACUGUUACGAGGUACUCAUAUUUUAUGUUCGCUGUUGCAUAUUUUAAGUAAGAUAUUUCAUGUUUGUUGUUUAAUGUUUCAUGUAAUAAUUUUUCAAAUACCCCAAAGUUUUUCUUUUUUGCCCCUAUUUUAUGUUUACGUUCCACGUUUCAUGUUUGAUGUUCUACGUUUCAUGUUUGAUGUUCUACGUUUAAUGUUUGACGUUGUAUGUUCACUGUUAUAAGGUACUCAUAUUUUAUGUUCGUUGUUGCAUAUUUUAAGUAAGAUGUUUCAUGUUUGUUGUUUAAUGUUUCAUGUAAUAAUUUUUCAAAUACCCCAAAGUUUUUCUUUUUUGCCCCCGUUUCAUGUUUACGUUCCACGUUUCAUGUUUACUGUUCUACGUUUCAUGUUUGACGUUGUAUGUUCACUGUUACGAGGUACUCAUAUUUUAUGUUCGCUGUUGCAUAUUUUAAGUAAGAUGUUUCAUGUUUGUUGUUUAAUGUUUCAUGUAAUAAUUUUUCAAAUACCCCAAAGUUUUUCUUUUUUGCCCCCGUUUUAUGUAUACGUUCCACGUUUCAUGUUUGAUGUUCUACGUUUCAUGUUUGAUGUUCUACGUUUCAUGUUUGACGUUGUAUGUUCACUGUUACCGAGGUACUCAUAUUUUAUGUUCGAUGUUGCAUAUUUUAAGUAAGAUGUUUCAUGUUUGUUGUUUAAUGUUUGUUGGAAUGAUUAAUGUUGCAUCUUGAUUUAUGUUUUACUACAUGGCUUGAUAUGUUUGUUAUUAUAUGAAUCUAUACUUCAUGAAUUAGAUAGCUUGAUAUGCUUGUAAUUUUAUGAUUUUAUAUUUCAUGCAUUAAAUGGCUUAUUGAAAGGUUUUAAAUCUCAAAAUGAUUUAAAAUUAAUUAAUUUUAAAAGGCCAAAAAUAAAAUGGUGUGUGUAAUACAAGUAUAAGAGCUUGCCCAAUUAGAGACAAAAAGAUUUCCAAGUCUAAACCGGUAUACCACUUCUUCUCAUCCGGAAAACCGUUCUUCUUAUUGAUUUCUCUCGGGACAAAUUCCGGAUAACCGAAUUGUCCAAAUCGGUGAGCCGCAUUUUCUUUGGUUGCUCUCGGGUCAAUAUUCGGAUAACCGGAUUAUCAAUCCGGAAAACCGGAUUCGCGUAUGGCCUUCACUGGAUUUAACCAGAUAGCCGGUUCUGUAAAUCUGAAAAUCCGGAUUCGAGCUGCACUUUGGCAGCAUUCUGGAUUCAUUCGGCCAACCGGUUAAGGAAACCGGUAAGCCGGUUUUAACGUGCUAUCUUCUGGAUCCAACCGGCAAGCCGGUUUGUGAUAUCCGAAAAACCGGAUUCGAGUGAAGGACUUGCUGGAACAUAACCGGAUUUCUGGUUCAAGUAAAACCGGCAAGCCGUUUACGGCUUGUAAGCUUCUGGUCACAACCGGCUAGCCGGUUAGUGAAAUCCGGCUAGCCGGUUAGUGAAAUCCGGCUAGCCGGUUAGUGAAAUCCAGCAAGCCGGUUUCGGGACCUAUUUCUACUAUUCAUCUUCUUCCUCUCAUUCGGCAUUCCGGAUCUCCCUCUCUCUCUAAAAACCGUUUACUCCUCACUCAAUCUCACUCCAAAAUCCAUCAUUUUCUUCCUUUUUGGCAUCAAAUUGAGUCUCAAAAAUCAUUCCCCAUCACUUCAUUUACUCAAAAUCAUCCGUAAAAUCCAUUUUUAACAUCCAAAACUCUAGAUCUCAAAUUCAUCUUAGGGUUUAACCGAACUUUUCUCAAUUUGAUGCAGCACCACCACCACCAAUCGAGAGAAGCUGAGACACAGCAGCAGUCGAUUCUGGUUGAAGAACCAUGAUAGAGAGGGAGACAGCUGUGACGAAUCGUGGUUGAAGAACUAUGAUAGAGAGAGAUAUGUGAAUUUCGAUAGGGAUAAGGAGAUUAGGCUUGGGUUUUGUUUUGCAAUUUCUUUUCUGAUAUAAUUUGUGAUUCAUCUGAGAACGUGUUUAACACGAGAGCGAGAGCGGGAGCGGGAACAUGAGCGUGAGCAGGAGCGCGAGAGUGAGCAGGAGCGCGAGAGUGAGCAAGAGCGAGAGCGAGGAAGAAUGUGGGGAUGGAGAGGGAAAAAGAUGAGGAUUUUCUGGUUCAAUGUUCCCGGGGAGGGAAGAACAAGGGGGUGGGGGAGAAAAAGAGGGAGAUGAAAAUGCUUUUCUUCCGGUUGCCCUUCUUUUUUCGCUUUUAUUCACGUUUUAUUUCUUUUCUUUCAAAUUAAAACCCCAACCGUUGGAUUCAAAUAAACUGAAUCCAAUGGCUCAAUGGCAGCCCCUACACCAUACAGGGGAUUUUAGGCCCUGCAUGGUAGCCGUGUCCUGGUUUUGCUAUUUAGACAAAAACCUCUUGAAGGGUGGGCUAAGACAGAGAAGCCUCCGUUUUAAAAAAUAAAUAAAUAACAAAAUUUAUUUGAAUUUUAUUUGUUUGUACAAUUAGUUCAACCAAAUGCUUCAUUUUGAUUAAUAACAAACUAACUUUUAAUAUUUUGCUUGGUGAAUGGUGAUAAAGAGCUUCACGUACUAAUAUAUUUGGUUGGUUUAGAUUUUAGAUUAAACAUAUUAAAAAGUUAAAGGCAAGAAAAUAAUUUUUAUUCAUCAAUUAUACUCUAUUUUCCAAUUAUAUAAAUACACAAAAAGCUAAAGGUAAAAAAAUAAACGAAGGAGGGUCAUAAAUAUCUACUGGGAUUGGCGGUAGUUAUCAUUAUUACAGACCCAUUUGGGGCAGCUGUGCUGCCACCACGCAGCUGCUCCCCAGGCCAAUUCUAGGGGAAUAUUCCCCUAAAGUUGGCCUGGGGAGCAGCUGCGCGGUGGCAGCGCAGCUGCCCCAAACGGGUCCUACAUUUCAAAAGCCACCGUGCUUGUCAAAAGUCAUAAUUACAUGUCAUCAUUACAUGUUUGCAUGCCAAUAAAACAUUUUUAAGUUAUGCUAUUUACCUUGGGUCAAACCUCAAAACUAAUACAAAUAAUGCCGUUUCGUGCAUUUUUUUUUCAUCAUCAUCAAAAUAACGCCGUUUGCUGAGCUUCUCAUCUUUGUAUCAUUUAUUUCACACAAGUCUUUGAAAACUGAAAUUAAUUCAGCAUUCAUUGAGGAUACCGAUUCCAUGCAAUACAUCCUAACACAUAUCAGAUUGAUAGAUUCUACAACUUGAGAGGAAAAUCUGCUUUAAGAACAUAACUUGGUAGUGCCCUGCUUGGAAGAUAACGCCUACUUAACAACCAAAGAUACCAGGACAACCAAAUGAAAUGGAGUGAAAUUAACCCAAGAACCAUCAACUAAUCAGAAUCUUGGAUCAAUUGAAUUCGCCAAGCACUUUCCGUUCACUUAAGCCAACAAGAAAUUGGGUUAAGUCUUCAAGAAACAGAGCCGCUUGAAUGAACACUCAAGGCACCAACAAUUUGAACAAUCACACACUUUCUCAACAAUCAAGCCACCAACAAUUUCAACAAUCACAUACUUUCUCAACAUAUUAGCAUCCACAAACACACUCACCGUAUCAUUCAUCUCCUCUUUCAUUGCCUCCACAAUAACCCCUUUGAGUCCCUUAUCACUUUGUUCCUCAAAAGCCACCCAAUCCUCUGUUAUCCUCACUUUGCACCUUCUUGAUUCUACCAAUUAACGCUCGCACCAUCAGCCUCAACCCACCUUCAAUUUUCUCAAUCUGCUCAAUCUGUGAGAGUAGAGAAGGGUUUGCGAAGAAGAUGAAGAAAGAGACUUGUGAAUGAGAGGGAGCGAGGAGGGUUUUUUACAGAGAAGCAAGGAUCUUGGCAUCUUUGAAGAAGAUGAUGAUUUCAGCUUAAUGUGAGCAAGCUCACAUGAAAAAGAGACAGGGAAGGGAAACGAUGAAGUGAAGGAAAAAGGAUGAAGGGAAGGGGAAAUAUUUGACAAGUAAAACGAACUGUUUUUGGCUUUGUUGUAAAACAGCGCGUUUUCAUUUUAAUCAAAACGGUGAGUUUCAAUUCGGGGCUUGAGUUGGGGCGUGAUUAAGGGGAAAUAGCUUUUUUCCAACAUUUUUUCCAUUUUCCAGCAUAUGUUUGGAAUUGCAUUAGUCUCUCGAGAGAUCAAUUCUUAAUAAUUAAUUAAUGUCAUCAUUGGUGAUCCAUCUUGGGAUUUUCAUAAUCCGCUUUCAAACUUUAGAUCGAACAAAAUUUUUUUGUAAUUAAAAAAAGUUAAAAAAUUUUUGUGGGAUAGUUUAAUAAUAUUUUUGUAUAAAAAAAAGAUGCUUACAUCCUUAAGAUUUAGAAAAAUAGUCAUAGAACAUUCUAAAUUUUUAAUAAACAACAUCAAAACUCUCACACCCUUUAACAUUAUAAACCCAAAAAAUUAACCCAAAAAUUUUAUAAUAAAUAAAAAUAUGGCAUUAAAAUAAAUAUAAUAAUACAUAUUUAAAAUAAUUUUACAAUCUAUUAGAUUUAUUUUAUUAUAUUAAAAAAUUAAUAAUAAAUAAAAUCAUAAUAUUAAAAUAAAUAAAUAAAUUUAAAUUAUUUUGAAUAUUAUAUAAAAGUUAAUUUUAAUAAUAUUAAUAGGGAGAUAUUUAAUUUUAAUAAUAUUAACAAGGAGAUAUUUUGUUAAUUGUAAAAUCUAUUUAACCAAAGAUUUAUUUAAAAUCUUAUAAUAAAUACAAACAUAUUAUUAAAAUAAAUAUAAAAAUUUAAAAUUUUAAUAUUACUUUAAAUGUUAAAAAUAAUUUAAUAUUAUUAAUAUACUAGAAAGAUUAUAUUAUUUAUAUUACAUAUGUAUUAAUUAAAAACCUUUAAAGUUAAUCUUAUAAUUAUUUCAUUGAAAGGAUAUUAUAAUUUGAAAAUAAUUUUAGUGUUCUUUUUUUUAAAUUUAAGAGUUUUCGUGAUUAUUUUUUGAAAUUUUGAAAGUAUAGGUAUCUUUUUAUCCUUUAGCAUAUGAUGAAAUAAUAUGUUUUAUUAUUAAAAAAAUUAAUAUUAAAUUUAGUAGAUUUGAUUAUAAAACUUAUUACGUGUCCAUUUUAAAAUCUCAGCACUUCAAUAUAUUGAGAUAUUAGGAUAAUUACGCACAAUUAGUUCUCAUGAAAAAGAUCAAGGAUCGGGUAGACAAAAUGUGUGGUAGUUAUGGUGUAAUACCCCAAUUCUCUUAAGGGUAUUCAAGUCUUUUUAAUUUUAGUGAUCUAUUUUUUUACCCUAGUGUAAAUAGAAUAGUAUGCCUUUCUCAUUAUAAGAGAGAGGGAAAGGGAGAUCGGUUGAGAAAAAAAAAACAACAGGAAAAAGAGAGAGAGAGAGAGAGAGAGAGAGAUGGAGAGAAAAGAGAGAAAAAGAAAAAAAGAAGAAAAUCUUCUUCAGUUCUUCUUCUUAGUUCUGCCAUAAGCAACACAUGAGGUGCAGUUGUUAUUGUUGGGAAAAGUUUUGGCGGUAUAUUUUAAUUAUUGGUUUCUAUUUAAUUGUUGUGGAGAAGCAUGAUUGCAAUAGAAGUAGAAACUUAAGAUUUUACAGAAAUAUGCUGACAGUGAAUUAUUACGAAAAUCAUAGUAAUUUGUACAAAUUGAUUUUGAUUCUGAUUUUUGGGUAUGUUAAACUAGAUAUCGUCUAGAAUAUUUUGAAACUUGUUUCAAGUUAAUCGGAUAAGAUUUCAAUUAAUUAUGAUUUUUCAAAGUCAAGUCUGAAAACUUAGAAAUUUAUGAUUUCAGUGAAUAACGUGAAUUACGAAAUUAUUUUUACCAUAACCAGACUUCUUCAAAAAUUAUGAAAUUUGGACCAAUGAUUUUUAUAUAUGUCUAGUAUGAUUCUGGAAAUUUUCAUGAUUUUCUAAUAAAGUAAUAAAUUGUUUUGUAUUUUUAAAGCAAGUGUAUUCAAAAUAGAAAAUUGUUUGACAAUAUUGAUGAUGUCUGAAACGUCAAUUAUUUUCAAUAGUUUUUGAAGGAAUUAUGUUAUGAACUUUUUGUCAAUGAACUUUCAAUGUGUCAGCAUAUGGUCUGUAAAAUUUGAAAUUCUUCCAAUAAGAGAAUAAUUUAUUAAAAAUCAGAGAAAUAUGGACUGUUAUAUUUUGAGGGCCGAAAAUUAAGGACAUUUGAGGUUGAGCUUAGGAGUUAUUCAAAUUGAGAUAUUUGAGGACAUUAGAGUUUAUAAUUGAGAUUUGAUUAUAUCUUAUGAGGAUUUAUUGAUAAUUUUAAGUUGAUGAUAUCAGUACGCAUUUGUUACAUGAGGAUGCCAAGAGGUAAGUAAACUAGACUUUUAAACGAAUCAUAAUAAACAAUAUAUAUGUUUGACUUGUGUGAAAAACCUAUUUUGAUAAGUACGAAUAUGGACUUAUAUGUCUCAUGUGUUUAUGUGACGUGUUCUUAUGUAUUGGGCAUGAUUAUGUACAUGGGCAUAUAUAUGUGUGAUGGUUAAUUGGCAUGAGCACGAAAAUGUAUUGAGUUUUCUAUGAAUGAGAAAGUAGAUUUUAACAAAUGAGAUUUCUGUUUUAUGAGAUUUUGCAUUAGGGGCCACCUCUUGAAGUUGUGUGGAGGCCACCUCUUGAGACUAUGCAGGGGCCAUCUCUUGAGGGCCAAAGCGCCGCAAAGUGCCACGCAUGGUGCAAAGUGCCACGCACAGCACAAAGUGCCGCAUUGCAGGAUAUGUAUUUUAUUGAAAGAAAAUAAGAAAGUUUGAAAGCGAUAUAAAGAGAUUUUUAUGAAUUUGUUUUACAGUAUUUCCAAAGGAUCAUGACAUAUCAUCCAUUUGCAUUAUAUAUAAGUAUGGAUGUAUUUUGGUAUAAGAAAAAUUAAUUUGCUUAUUGAGUUUUGUACUCAUUAUAGUUUAUUAUGAUUCAGUUUCCAGAAGUCAGGAAUGACUCGUAAUGAGUGAGAAGGUAGACUUGAAUUGAGGAUGAUAGAUGGUUUGACAAAAUUUCCAGAUUAUUCCGCUGCCUAUUAUAUUUGAGGUUUGAAUUAUUUUCGAUUGUAAAAGGUUAUUUAAAUUCAUAUGUGAGUUGUGGUCAGAUUUGUCCUCAGAGUUCAGGUUGGGGUGUUACAUAUGGUAUACACGUCACCUCAAUUAUUGGAAGUGAAAAAAUCUAGCAAAAGUCUGCUGAAAAUGGGUCAGGUAACAUAUGUGGUGGAAGGAGUUAGAUGAAAAUGGUGGUUAAAAGUUAAAAUCAGGGUCCGCUUAUAAGUAAAAGGCCAAGUUGAGGCACCAUUAUUUCAAAAUUCCAUGGGCAAUCAUCUCUUUUCUCUCUACUUGUGAGAGGAGCAUAAGUCUAAUUAAUUUAUUUUUUCUAGUUUCACUUGAUUUAUAUUUUCUUAUUUAAGUAGUAUUUCUUUUCUUGUAAGAAAUCAUAAGUUUACUAGGAUCAAGAUUAAUUACAACUAAUAGUGCACUUUCCUGUUUCCACUAUUCCAUUCCCUUGGCUUUGCGUCGCUUCGCUUCAUCUAAAAAAUCAAACACAUGCAAGUCUCUCAGUCUGGUCCGACCAUCCAAAAUCGAACGAACCCGCUUUCAAAUCGAGAACUCUUUAAUUCAUUUCCAUAAUUCAAAGACUGCUUUUUAAAAGAUAAAAGGUGAUUUCAAAAAAGGGACAUAAUCACGCUAUGUAGCAUCUGAUUUUAGAUGUUGGUCCAAUAAGGAUGUGAACUAGUAGCUUUCGCCUUCAAGAAAGAGUAACAACAUAAAGGUGACAGCAAAAAUAAAAUGCAGAGAGGUCAUACGUUGCGCCACUGAGCUUAAAGAAACUGGAAUCGAGUUCAUGAAGGCUGAGGGAGAAAGCUUGUUUGAUAUAAAGUUUAAAAACGGAGUAAUGAAAAUCCAAAAAUUGAACAUUAAUGACGAAACGAAACCUUUCUUGAGAAAUCUCUUAGUCUGAGCAGUUCUCUUCCAUGGAUGUACUAUAUCAAAACUCUGUGACUGAUUAUAUGAAUCUCAUGGAAUGCCUCACUGCCUCUCGAAUAAAUGUGGGAUUAAUUUGUCAGCAUGGAAUUAUCGAUAAUUGCAUUUGUGAUGAUCAAGUGAUUGCCAAUAUUUUCAAUACGAUUGGUUCCUUCCUGGUGCUUUCGCGUGAGAGCUGCUACUCGCAUAUAUUCUGCAAUGUGAAUGAGCAUUGUAGCAGGCGUUGGAAGGAUGGAUGGCCAACUUGAGACACACGUAUUUUAACAAUCCAUGGUCAUUUAUUUCCUUUUUGGCUGCUUUUUUUCCUGCUUCAACUCUCUCUUUUACAAACUUUGUCCGCAAUUCAUGCUUAUUUUAAAUAAUGAAAUGACAACUCUCUCUUUUACAAGUUCUCUUUUACAAACUUUUAAUAUUUUGCUUGAUGAAUGGUGAUAAAGAGCUUCACGUACUAAUAUAUUUGGUUGAUUUAGAUUUUAAAUUAUACAUAUUAAAAAGUUAAAGGUAAGAAAAUAAUUUUUAUUCAUCAAUUAUCCUUAUUUUCCAAUGAUCCAAAUACACAAAAAGCUAAAGGCAAAAAAAUAAACGGAGGGUCAUAAAUAUCUGGUGGGAAUGUGGGAUAGGUGGUAGUUAUCUUAAGCUUGUCAAAAGUCGUAAUUGCAUGUCAUCAUUGCAUUUUUGCUUGUACUCCAAUCUUGCCUGCCAAUAAAACAUUUUUUCCAUUUUCCAGCAUAUGUUUGGAAUUGCAUUAGUCUCUCUCGAGAUCAAUUCUUAAUAAUUAAUUAAUGUCAUCAUCAAUGAUCCGUCUUCGGAUUUUCAUAAUCCGGUUUCAAACUUUAGAUCGAACAAAAAUUUUUUGCAAUUAAAAAAAAGUUAAAAAAUUUUUGUGGGAUAUAUAGUUUAAUAAUAUUUUUGUAUAAAAAAAAGAUACUUACAUCCUUAAAAUUUUAAAAAAUAGUCAUCGAUCAUCCCAAAUUUUUAAUAAAGAACAUCUAAACUCUCACUUGACCAUGGCCCUUUAACAUUAUAAAUCCAAAAAAUUGACCUCAAAAUUUUUAUAAUAAAUAAAAAUAUGGCAUUAAAAUAAAUAUAAUAAUAUAUAUUUAAAAUAAUUUUACAAUCUAUUAGAUUUAUUUUAUUAUAUUAAAAAAAUUUAAUAAUAAAUAAAAGCAUAAUACUAAAAUAAAUAAAUAAAUUUAAAUUAUUUUGAAUUUUAUAUAAAAGUUAAUUUUAAUAAUAUUAAUGGGGAGAUAUUUUGUUAAUUGUAACAUCUAUUUAACCAAAUCUUUAUUUAAAAUCUUUAUAAUAAAUACAAACAUAUUAUUAAAAUAAAUAUAAUAAUUUAAAAUUUUAAUAUUACUUUAAAUAUUAAAAAUAAUUUAAUAUUAUUAAUCUACUAGAAAGAUUAUAUUAUUUUAUUUUACAUCUGUAUUAAUUAAAAACCUUUAAGGUUAAUCUUAUAAUUAUUUUAUUCAAAUGAUAUUAUAAUUAAAAAAUAAUUUUAGUGUUUUUUUUUUUAAUUUAAGAGUUUUCAUGAUUAUUAUUUUGAAAUUUUGAAAGUGUAGGGGUCUUUUUAUCCUUUGGCAUAAAACAAAAUAAUAUAUUUUGUUAUAAAAAAUUUUAAAAUUAAUGUUAGAUAAAUAAGAGCACCAGCUCAACAUCCCCACCCCGGGGUGGAUCACCUCAGCCGAACGGUACGAGCAAAACACUGAUAACGAGCCUUCUACAAACAUGAGCCGACCAGAGACGUGUACCAACCAGAGGAAUAUACCGACCAGAGACAUAUACCGAGCCGAUACUCAUUCCCCAAAGAGCGGGGACACGAUCUCACAGAAUCACGAUAGUUGCGCUUUUCCCAGAACCGUUGAGGGAGAAGCGAGACCCCACGUUUGCCCACAAUGUAGCAGUUAGAGUUCCAUGAGGGGCUGCGACUACCCGAAAAAGGGGGGAUGAAAUGUGAACGGAAACGUGGGACAACGGCUAUAAAAGAGGAAGAAAUCGAUGAAGAAAGGGACAGAAAAACUGAGAGAAGGGAAAACGCUGCCAAAUUGUAACCAGGCAAUUUUUUUUAUACAAAACUUUGAAUAGAUUAUAUAUCAUCCUUAAAUCCAAAUUGCACUGUUUUUCCGUAAACACCCUGUGCUAACUUAGGCAUCAGAGGGUUUACACCGGCAAAACCACCGGCGUCUCUGAUCCGUUUUGGUGAACGCAGGUCUAGUGAGAGAAAGAAAGGCGAUUCUAACCCCAGUGAUUUGAGCAACAAUUGAAACAAGAAGAAAUCGACACCCUCACUAUUGAUAACAUAAGCGUUGGUGUAAAGAUCUGGUCGGGUAAAGGGCGAACAGAUUCCAGCAUCAACAAUUAAAUUUAGUAGGUUUGAUUAUGAAACUUAUUAUGUGUCCAUUUUAAAAUCUCGGUACUUCAGUAUGUUGAGAUAUUAGGACAAUUACGCACAAUUGCUUCUCAAGGAAAAGAUCAAGGAUCGGGUAGACAAAAUGUGUGGUAGUUAUGGUGUACAAGUCACCUCAAUUAUUGGGAGUGGAAAAUCUAGCAAAAGUCUGCUGAAAAUGGGUUACGUAACAUAUGCGGCGGAAGGAGUUUGAUGAAAAUGGUGGUGAAAACUUAAAAUCAGGGUCCGCUUAUAAGUGAAAGGCCAAGUUGAGGCACCAUUAUUUCAAAAAUCCAUGGGCAAUCAUCUCUUUUCUCUCCACUUGUGGAGGAGCAUAAGUCUAAUUAAUUUAUUUUUUCUAAUUUCACUAGGAUUGAUUUAUAUUUUCUUGUUUAAGUAAUAAUUUUUUUUUAAAGAAAUCAUAAGUUUACUAGGAUCAAGAUUAAUUACAACUAGUAUAAAUAGAUUUUUUAUUAUUAUUUUUUUAAAAAACUUUAUCAAUAAUAUUCAACUUAUUUUUUUUAAUUGAGAUAUUUUUCUCCUUGUGAAAACCUUCAUUCUUAAACUUAAAGAAAAUACAUACACUAGAAAGUCUAGAAUGAUAAUAUUACUUCCACACCACGUCAAAAUAGUAUAAAACUUUUCUCUGUGUGAUGUAGGGUAUUCCUAACCAUCAAUCUCCUCCCAUGUAAAAUCCUUCCUCCAUCAUCUGUUAACUCCACCAAUUCCAUUAAUUUAAAAAAAAAAAUCAGCAAAACCAUAAGCCACCAUCACAGCCACCAUACAUAGCCGCUACUACCAAUCAUUGUCCUUUUCAUUGAUUUCCAUUACCAUCCAAUUCAGUCAAGAGCCGCCGACCGCAACCCAGCCAACAUACCCUCCUUUUGCACUGUAGUCACCAAAACCACCAUCAAACUACCACGCUCGUCGGCACUUGAUUCGCUGUAAAUUUGCCGCAAUUCAUCAACUUUUCCCUAUAUAAAUUAUUCCCCAUUCUCAACUCUCUCUUUCCAGUCUAAACUUGCUUCCAGCCACUGCUCCAUUCACCGGAAACUGAAACCAAGACUCCUACCGCCGCUUUGAUUCAAUUUUCCUAUCAACUUACAAUGAUCAAAUCAUUGCCACCAUCACACUUAGCAAUCUCAAAUCUUCCAGAUCCACCCAUCCUUAUCUAAUUUUCCAAUCACCAUUUUCGCUAAACUCAUCUUUUGUUUGUUUCUAAUUUUUUACCCAGUACCUUUUUUUUAAUUAUAAUUUUGCCCUUUGAUUUUCUGUUCUUAUAAAAAAAAAACCGAAAAAAGGGAAGAAAGAUAGUUUCUAAAGAAGGCAUUACUUAAUUUGAAGAUUGAAUAAUAAAGAGUUUAGAGCAAGUCCAAUAAUCACAAGAUCAUGUUGGAGAGGCAUUGAAAGAAUCAGCGAAAGCUUUGCAGUCAAUGCAAAUCUAAAUUGAGAGGCAAUGAAAGUUUCGAUGGGAGCAUUCCAAAACACAUUACUUGGUGUGCAACAAAAGUCAAUAGAGCUUAGAUUUAGCCAAAGAAGUAACCAGCAAGCUAAGAAUGCUGAAAAUGUUAAUCUAAGCAAUAAUUUUAGUGGCCAAAAGAAGACCAUCAGAGCUAAGGAACAAGUAGCUCUAGUAAAAAUACUAAAGCUACUCUACCCCUUCCAAGUUCAGAUGAUUUAGAUGAAGAUGAAAUAGAAGCUGAUGAACAACGAGAAUGCAUCAAAAUGACUACCACAUUAAAAUUGACCUUCCAUCAUUCAAUUGACAACUAGGCAGUGAAUAGUUAUGUGAUGGUUAUCUAAUGUUGAAUGAUUCUUUGAAACAAUGAACUUUUCGUAAUCAAAGAACGUCAAGAUAGUAGCAUAUAAACUUAAAGGAGCUGCUGUAGUUUGGUGGGACAAUCUACAAACUUCUCAUGUACUACAAGGAAAGAGAAAGAUCGAGACAUGGCAUUGCAUGCAUCACUUGCUAAGAGAAUGAUUUUUGCUUCUUGGCAACUUGUAGGCCUUGUUUCCUGAGUACAACAAUUGUCAUCAAGGAGCUAAGACAGUUAAUGACUAUGCCCUCAAAUAUUAGAGGCUUAUGGAACGGAAUAAUCUCCAUGAACAGAAGCUUGGUAGAUUCUUGGAUAGUUUAGGCCCUGAAAUAAAGAUCAACUUGGGUUGCAACUGUUUCAUGCACUGCAAAAUGUCAUUCGAUUAGCUAAAAAGAUAAAAAUGCAACUUGAUAAAUGAAAGGCUUAUAACCAGGGGACUUCACACUCAUUCACUCCUGGUUAACAAUAGAAGCAGAGGUAUGGAGUUAACAAGGGAAAAGCCCCUAUGGAAAACUUUGUGAAGCCAACCCAGAAUCGUAAUGGACAAAACACAUGGCCAACAAAAGAUCAUCGAAGUACUAGUAAUCUUAGUAGUAAUCUUUCUGCAGUUCUUCUUUCUUUGUAUCUCAUGAGUUCUUUGUCAUGACUGUCAUGCAAGAGGAAACAAAAGAUUUAAUUGGGAUGAUUUAUGCAUUCUUUGAAUAUGCACUUCCUGGUACAGGCUAUGAACACAACUCUGAGCAUUCCACCAAAAUCAAACACCUAGUGGAAUUUAUUCACCUGAACUAGUAGCUUUCGCCUUCAAGAAAGAGUAACAACAUAAAGGUGACAGCAAAAAUAAAAUGCAGAGAGGUCAUACGUUGCGCCACUGAGCUUAAAGAAACUGAAAUCAAGUUCAUGAAGGCUGAGGGAGAAAGCUUGUUUGAUAUAAAGUUUAAAAACGGAGUAAUGAAAAUCCAAAAAUUGAACAUUAAUGAAGAAACGAAACCUUUCUUGAGAAAUCUCUUAGUCUAUGAGCAGUUCUCUUCCAUGGAUGUACUAUAUCAAAACUCUGUGACUGAUUAUAUGAAUCUCAUGGAAUGCUUCAGUGCCUCUCGAAUAGAUGUGGGAUUAAUUUGUCAGCAUGGAAUUAUCGAUAAUUGCAUUUGUGAUGAUCCAGUGAUUGCCAAUAUUUUCAAUACGAUUGGUUCCUUCCUGGUGCUUUCGCUUGAGAGCUGCUACUCGCAUAUAUUCUGCAAUGUGAAUGAGCAGUGUAGCAGGCGUUGGAAGGAUGGAUGGCCAACUUGAGACACACGUAUUUUAACAAUCCAUGGUCAUUUAUUUCCUUUUUGGCUGCUAUUUUUCCUGCUUCAACUCUCUCUUUUACAAACUUUGUCCGCAAUUCGUGCUUAUUUUAAAUAAUGAAAUGACAAGUUCUGUUUCAAUAUGGCCGAGUUGGGCUGGUAACAAUGAUAGAAAUGUCAAUUUGAGAGUUGUAGUUGCCAUGCUUAUUGUAUAAUACACAACUUGGUUGCUUGCUACCUAUUUCUUAGUUCACAUCAAGUGUCGUGUGUGGACAUAAAAGGUCGAUUCUAGGAUUUGAUAAUAACAAUACUUGUGAAACUGAUAUAAAAAUUCAUUCUUUUAACAAUAGAAAAGAGUUUGCGGUGGUAAAAACAUUUCGAGGAAAUUUACACUAUCAAGACAUUCAUUCUUUUAGUGUAUUCUACGAGCUUUGCAUAUUUAAUUUGUUGUUUGGUAGAGGAAUGUCACGGAAUAGAGAAAAGUUCCACCCCACCUUUAGUCUGAUAAUAUGCCUCUCUGUUAAGUCUUUAGGUGUUUUAUUUUUAGCAUAUAUAUAGCAGAAGUCCAGCAGCUAACUCGUCUUUUACACUGAACAAAUAUUAAUUAGCUGAGAAAAAAUCAUAAGUUGAACAAAUAUUAAUUAGUUGAGAACUAAUCAUGAGUAGUAUUAGGGUCCAUUUGGGAUUGAGGUUGGUCAGAGUGUUUGGUAAACACUAAUCCAGGUACAUUGGUGAAAUCUUGAUCGUUGUACGACUUUUUCAUGAAUAAAUUCCUUAAAUUAGCACAACAUUGCCCAUAAAGUUAUGCACACACCAAAUCAUGGUUCCUAUUCUAAUCUUAAUUAGACUGCAAGUAAUUCUGCUGUGUGCUCUGGCUUGUAGCAUUUUUUUGGUCUUUAAUUUCGAAAGGUGAUAAUUAUUGUUAAUUCUUGAAUCACAUUUCAGGCAAGAUGGCCAGGUAUGGAUGGAAUUCAGGGACCAAUAUUGUCGGGAACUGCUUUUACAUGAAGAGAGAAGCAUUAAAUGGCAAGUUUUCACAGAAAGGUUUGCCCAUUUUCCUUUUUGCUGCAUUUCUGCAUUUUCAACGAAAGUAGUAUGGCAGUUUAUGCAGACUUUCUACAUUUUUUUUUUUUCAGUUUCAGAGGAUUUGGUGGCAAAUUGAAAAGGAAACAGAACAAGGUUACAACGUGCUACUGCAUGAUUUAUUUAUAUCUGGAUACUAUUUUAAUGAAAAUAUGAAUCUUAGCUAAGCAUUGUUCUCAAAUGGAAUGCUAGUGAGAAAAGACAGCUGUUAGGUUCAUCAAGUCAACAAUUCUAUUAAUCUUUGCUAUACAUCAUUGCAUAUAUUUGCAAAUGACUUAAGUGACAAAAUCAGUCAGCUGUAAAUUGUUAAAAGUGUUCGUGUUUGAUUCAGAGCUACAUCAUCUGAAAGAAUCCUUUGGUCCUUCAAAUGAGUUGAUCAUCUCUCUUCAUCGUAGCAACCAACAUAAAACCAUUGACAAUGGUAUCUUGUCUAGCACACUGCAACAGGAAGCAGAAUUUUUAGCUUCUUACAACUAUGAGAAGAACAGUGUGUGGCGAAAACAGGCAAGUAACCUCUGUGAAAACACUGGGAUGCCGUUAAUAUAAUUAAGUAGAUACUAAUUAUAUCAUUGAAUCUUUGCUUUUGGUUUCAAACCAGAUAGGAUACUUGUACAAAUCUCUGAUAGAAGAUUAUUUUAGCGGAUUCAUUUUGCACUGAAAAGGGUGGAAAUCCAUCUCUUGCAAUCCAUCACGGUCAGCAUUCUUAGGAAGUGCUGCAUCAAGUUUGAAUGACACAUUGGUUCAAGGCACAAGAUGGAACUGCGGUUUGCUUGAAGUCACUUUCUCAAAGUGCUCCCCUCCUCUUUAUGGGCUAUCAAGAAUGCCUUUGCUUCAAACAAUGUGCUAUAGCUAUUAUGCUUUGCAGCCAUUCUAUUCCUUGCAGUCAUGGUGUUUAGCUACUGUGACUCAGCUGUGUCUCAUAAAUGGAAUUUCCUUGUACCCG